CCCUCAUACAUAUCCUUAAUUACUCUGAUAUAUGCCUGCGGUACUCCCCUCACCUCCAAGCAUCUCCAAAGCACUUCCCUGGGGACUUUGUCGUACGCCUUUUCCAGGUCGAUGAACACCAUGUGCAGAUCCUUCUUCCUCUCCCUAUACUGCUCCACCAACCUCCGUACCAGGUGGAUUGCCUCCGUCGUCGAGCGGCCGGGCAUAAAUCCGAACUGGUUUUCCGAAAUAGACACUAUCCGUCUCAGCCUCACCUCGACCACUCUCUCCCAUAUCUUCAUAGAGUGACUCAGUAACUUAAUCCCCCUAUAGUUAUUGCAACACUGAAUGUCCCCCUUAUUCUUAUAGAGGGGGAUCAUGGUACUCCACCUCCACGCCUCGGGCAUCUUUGCCGUCCUGAAGAUUUCAUUGAACAAUGCAGUCAACCACCUUACACCAGCCUCUCCAACGAACUUCCAAAACUCCACCGGUAUCUCAUCCGGCCCCGUCGCCCUACCCCUUCGCAUCCUGCGGACUGCCUGUCUAACCUCGUCUACCUUAAAACGUCUACAAUAGCUAAAAUCUGGAAUAAUGAAUUUAGCUUAACAAAAUGAGCAAAACAAGCAAGUACUCAAAACCAACAAUCAGUUUCAAAUAUGAUUUUCAUUUAACAAAAUCAAGUUCAAAUCACCAUAUAAGAAAAGCUACCAAUGAUAAAUUCAUAUUACAACACUGCACAAAACAUCAUCCUGCUAUUUUUAUCCACAUAGCAAUACACACUAUGAAAAUACUACUAAAGCUCUCUAUCUUCUUCACUCCAAUCGUCUUCUCUAGUGUAUUUUUUUGUCUCAUCUUUCAUCUGAGCAAAUGAGUUACAUUGUUCUUCCAUUUGAGUGAAUGUAGAUUCAGCUUCAUCUCUAUAAUUUUUCUGUCACUGUAAGCACCAAUUAAUUCUUCCUUCGUCUUCAUUAUCUUCAAUAGUUCAUUCAUCUCCUUCACUUUCUUCACUAACUUUGGAAUAAUGAACUUAGAUCGUUCACCAACCACACCAUUCCUCCAAAAAAAAAAGUUACACUUGUUUGAUCCAUAAUAAGGACAAGACCAAAAUCUUCUUCCCGAAUUAUUAUCAGACCAAGAAGUCUUCAAAUGGAGUAAGAGACCAUUAUUGCAUUACACCUUCGCAUUCAACAUUGAAUCUUCCUUGUCUAAACAAAUCUUAUUCAAAUUCAAUUUUACAUAUUUCAGGUUAACCCUAGUUUCAAAAAUUAUAAAUUAAAAAUUAGUGAAAAUAGUGAGAAAAAGUUAAAAAAUAGUGAAAAGAAGUUUUAAACAAACAAAGAAAACUAAGAAGAUAUCAGAAAUUUACCAAAGAAAAUAAAAAAAAUCAAUGAAAAAUUUUUACCUUCAACAAUGGAAAGGAAAACGGGAGUAGAAUAGAAGAAGGGGAAUCUAUACCUCUCUUUAAUACAUUAUAUUAAAAAAAUAAAGGAAUCUAAUGAAAAAUAUAAAAAGUUAUGUGUCUAAAAAAUAGAUUUAUAAUGAUUUUUAAAUACCCUUCAAGGAACGUGAUUACACGCAGUGGUCCAAGUGGACAGAUAUAUGUCAUUUAAAUGCGAAAAAAAUCUAGAGAGGUCAUAGGACCCCGCAAAAUUCAGUAUGCGCAAUUGUAAAUUUAGGUAAACUACAUGUAUUUUACGCAGCUUUUUUCCUAUUAAAUACAUCCUUGUUGUAAUAUAAAAAAAAUUGAUCCGAAUCAUUUCAUUUGGGAGCACUUUGGGCUAUAAAAACAUGAGUAUUGAGAGAGAAAUAAAUUGGUGAACAUGAAAUAUCUUCAUGGUAUAAUUUCUAACGCGAAUUUAAUCUAUUUUGAUUUAGAAUAUCAUCGUAGUAUAAUUUCAAACUCAAAUCAAGAAAUUUUAUAUGAAUCUACUUUGAUCUUAGAAUUUUUAAAAUAAUAUUUAUCUUGAAAUUAUUUUAUUUGGGAGCACGUUUGGGCCAUAAAAACGUGAGUAUUGAGAGAGAAAUAAAUGGAAAAAGGACACUCUAUAACACUUUUUAAAACAAAUAGCUCAAGUUUGAUAUCUUUUCAAAAAGUGGUCACUCGGGUAUACUAUUUCCAUUUUAUAGCCAUUUUAAUUUGGGUCAUUUUAGCCCACGUAGUUCAGAUACAGUCCAUAUACAAUACUGAUACAGUCCAUAUACGAUAUUGAUAUAGUUUUCAACUUGGGCAAUUCGGCCCUUUUAAAAAUAUUUUAAUUUUUCUUGCUAUAAAUUUUUUAACUGAAAAAUAUUCUAUUUUUUUAAUUAUUUAGAAAAAAUAAUUAAAUAUAACUAAAUAUAAUAUAAUUAUUAUAUAUAAUAUGUAUCUAUAUAACAUAUAUGUAUAAAAUAUAUAUAAAAAAAUAUAUAGAAAGUAUAUAAAAAUUAUAUAAUUUUUGGUAUAAAAUGUGUAAAAAAAAAAAAUACAAUUAUUGUAUAAAUUGUGUAUCAAAAUUAUAUAAUUUUCGUAUGGAAUAUUAAUAUGUAUAAGAUAUGUAUAGAAAUUGUAUAGAAGGUGUGUAGAAACGGUAUAGAACAAGCCAGCUAAUUGAAAUAACUAGAAAGUAAAAUUUAAAUUCCAUGGCUAUUUUCGUGAAAAUAGUUUAAUUUGAAGUGUCGUUUCUAUACUUUCCCCAAAAUAAAUAGGUAAACAUGAAAUAUCAUCGUGAUAUAAUUUCUAACUCUAAUCUAUAAAUUUUACAUGAAUCUACUUUGAUGUUAGAGUAUUAUCGUCGUAUAGUUUCUAACUCGAAUCUAUAAAUUUCACAUGAAGCUAUUUGAUCUUAGAAUUUCUAAAAUAAUAUUUAUUUUGAAGUAUUUUUUUUAGAAUAGUUCUAAUGAAAUAAAAAAGGAUGCACGCCCAGUGGGACUCGAACCCACAAUCGCUUGAUUAGAAGUCAAGCGCCUUAUCCAUUAGGCCAUGGGCGCUUCUUCCUGGCGUAGUUCCCUUUUUUUUUAUUUUUUUAAAUUUAAUGUAUGAAAUAAAAUUUUGUAUAGAAAAUUUUAAGUGGGUGCAAAAACAAUUGAUUUUGGUAAUUGUGGAUCAUUGCUACCUUAUAAUACUUGUCUAGUCGUCAUGUCUUGUUAGCCUGCCUCGCAUUAUUUGGAGCUAUCAUGAACCCAUUGUUGUUUAUGUAAUUUUACUGACAUCAUUAUAUGAGUGAAGAUCGCUCCCAAUGACUGAUAAGUAAAAGAAUACCAAAUUUUGACAAUUUCAACAAAAUGCAUCAUAUACUUGCGACGUAGGAUGUUAACAUCUCUACUAACCUGUGACAUUUUCAACAAGUUGCUUCACACACAAUGUAGGAUGUAAACAUGAUCUCACACUACUGUGUAAAUAUCUUUUUAUACCAUUGGUGUGAGUCCGGGAGAAGCCACUUUUUUUUCAAACCUCAUUUGGUGCGAAUAUAGUAGAUAUGAGCAUUAAAACUAGUAAUUCUAAAGUUUAGGUAUCUUGCAACGUCUUCCAAUCAUAGUGAGACAUUGCAAAGUAUAGCUCACACGCUACGGGCUUCUCUUUUUCUAGGAUAAAGACUUUAAUUUUUUAUCGAUAACCUCAAACCCAUCAAUCGAAUAUCAAUUAAUAAGAAUAUCAAUUAAUAAGUAAUUAGAAUUUGUCUGUCUUAUAAGAUUGAUGUUAUCUAUUCCAAAGUUUUGCAUGUUAAAAGGUUCCUGCUGUGCAGUGGUUGUGGCCUACCUUUACAUAGCAACUUACAAUUGUCUUGUAUACAAUUGUCUUCGAUAAAUAAAUACUAUAAUUCCGGGAUAACCAAUCCUAGAAUAAGUUAUCUGGCGCUUUUACUCCAACCAAAUAUGAAAUAAAUUAAUACUAAAAUUAAUCUCGAGAUUAGUUAUUCCUCGCUCCAAAUGAGCUUUAGGAGUUAAUUGUUUGUAUUAGGCAAGUCUCUUUUAACAGGAAAAUAGUGGUUAGCAGUCAAUUGAGCGUUCUAAUAUUACAAAAUGCUAAAUUUAGUCUAUUGAUUGGAAUUUUAUUCAUUUUUGUGUUUGUAGGAUUUGUGUUUGCAAGAUGUUAUUGAACGGGACAGGAAUAAGCAAUACCACAAAUAAAAGAAAAUAAGAACACACAGAAUUUACAUGGAAAUUCUUGACGGAAAAAACUACGAGCAAAGGAGGAGGAAAUUUACUAUAAUAGAGAAGAGUACAAGGAGAAGACGACAGAUUCAAUGAUGUAUAUAUCAAACCACCCAAAACAACCCACUAAAUCGCACUCAUAUAAUACAUGCGUACAAAUAAAUCCUAAGCCCAAAAACAUACAGGUCCACACCACGGGUCCAUACAAAUAAAUCCUAAGCUCGAACCCCACGCUACCACCACAGACCCCCCAAAAAAUCUCAAACAUGAGUUGCACUACAAUCUUUUCAGGACCGGAUCCACAAAAUUCGAAUCACAAACUCUUAACACAAGAAUAUACACCACCUUUUUCGUUCUAUUUCAUGUUGCAUACAUUGUACAAGUCCAAAAUUAGAGUACGUGCUAUCAGGAAAUUUGCUUUUUUAAGACGACUCUGACUAGUGCAAUCUCACAAGAGAUUGUUUUCGAUGGAAACUUGGUUUAGUUGCAGACUUUGCACAAGAGAUUUCUGUCACAUCAGACUUAGCCACAUAACAAGAGAAACAAUAUGAACAAAAAAAUAAUGUUAUAAGCAUUCACUUACAACAAGAAACAACCACCAGUAAUGUUAUAAGCAUUCACUUACAACAAGAAACAACCACCAGUGUUUGGUGUAGCACUUGCAUUUUUGUGUAUUGUGUAGCACUUGCAUUUUUGUGUAUUCUUUACUACUUUCUUGGUCUUUCAUUCCGUCAUAUUCCUAAUAACCUAUCCAAUCACAACGUAUGAACCGCUAAUGUAUUCCUCUUUACUUUCUUGGUCUUUCAUUCCGUCAUAUUCCUAAUAACCUAUCCAAUCACAACGUAUGAACCGCUAAUGUAUUCCUCUUUACUUUCUUGGUCUUUCAUUCCGUCAUAUUCCUAAUAACCUAUCCAAUCCCAACGUAUGAACCGCUAAUGCACCUUCCUUUUAUCAAAUCUCAUGGACAUGGGUCUAAUCAUGAGAUCCUAAGUUUUUAUGAAUUCCUUCUUUGUUACCGGGGUCGACCCCUAAUCCAUAAUGUCUUAAAAUGAGGAGCGAUCAGCCACUUGACUGUAAGUACAGGAGGCAACCGAAAGACAAUAAACUAGUAAGUGAAGAUAUUCCAAAGUGGUUAGGAACUAGAAAACAUCAAUCAUAUCAUUCAAGGUUUUAUUGUUGAUAUUUAAAUGGGCAUUGAUGGUUUUUCUUCUGUUGAGUUGGGUUCUGAAACAAAACAAAAAUUAGUGACAGACAUCUCCACAACACAAUGCAUUAGUUAGAAAAAGCAGUUGGAAGGAAUACUGAACACCAACUCCUAUCAAAUGAACUCAGCAAACAGCCAUUAAACUAAUUUCAAUAGUUUCCAGCACUGCCUAGUUCAAUCAACAAGAAUAAUCGCCCGAUUUUUAAAUGGGGAUUAAGUUUGGAUAGUAAAUGUGUUUUCUGUAAUCAGAGGGAUGAAACAGCUGAUCAUGUUGUUUUUCCAGUGUAACUUUAUCAGAACUGUGAGGGGCAAGGGAUUCCAGAGUGGUUAGGAUGGCAUACAAGUGUGGUACUGCAGACCAAGGGCAAAAGUGCUAAAAGAAGAUUGCUUUAGGCAUGUAUUAACAUCAAACAUAGAAGAUAAAUAUAUGCUUGAAUAUAAAAUAAUAAUAUUGAGUAAAAGAAAUGAUUUUUGUACCUAUUCUUUAAUUUGAGGUUGGAGAAAGAAUUUUUCACCAAGUGGUUUACCUUAAUCCUUGUUCUACAGAAGCUAGCAUGCAGUAAUCAGAGAGGUUUAAUGAUCUUUCCUACAUCUCACAACCUACCUGGGGUGGAUGAUCCUCCAUUGCAGAUUUGGCAUGGUGAGUGUACUCCCACAAAGUGUGGUCCGGGUCAAAUAGAGUAGAGGGAGUGUCUACGAUAGGCCCCCGUCUUGAGACAAAUAAUAAUUUAAAAAAAUAUAGAAACAACAAACACAAUGAAAUAGCACACCAAUAGAUAAUAAAAGAAAUAAUACACCUACAAAGUGAAGUACUGCAUUACACAAUCUACUAGAAAAUCACAUGCAUCACCAAAAACACCAUGAACAAAGGACUACAAGACAUACAUAACAUUCCUUCCCAAAUUUAAAGGAUGUAUAAAGAAUAACUUUUCUUCAAGUCAUCAAGAACAAGCAAACCAAGAUGAUUUAUGCAUCUAUUCUUUCAUCUUGAAGCUAGCAUGCAGUAAUCAGAGAGGUCGAACGAAUUCAACAACGUAUUCAAAAAGAGACUAAGCUUCUGGACGGAAAAGAAGAGAAGUGCAAAGAUCAGACACAUAACUUACCGAAAAUCAAGUUGAAGAUAUUCCAAAGUGGCUGGAAACUAGAAAACAUCAUAUAUUUUUUUCAAGGUUUUGUUAUUGAUAUUUUUAAAUGGGCAUUGAUGGUCUUUCUUCUGUUGAACUAAGUUCUGAAACAGAACAAAAAUUAGUUACAGACAUCAGAGUAACCAAAACCUUUUGUAGAAACAAAGAAUGUGAUGGCUAUUGACGCUCUCCCAUCACAUCGCACAAAAAAGAUGUGGACAAAAUAACAGCUGACAACUGCAGCAGCCUCUAACAACACCCUAAUCUUCGAGUUCAAUAAUCUUGACGACAGAUGCAUCUCCAACUUUCUGGCAAACAACAACUCGAUCGUGUGAUUUAAUAACUCCUGAUGCCUUACCAUGAUCAAGAGCAACUUUCAGCACUGACUCGUUAGAUGCGUUGGUAGAUUCAGCCUACGAAGAGUAAAUCGCUUGAUUAGACACCAGCAAAAAGAAAAGAUGUAGCUUUCAACUGAACAUGACACACCAAAAAUGAUGAGAUAACUUACUGGAUGUCGAGGAUCAGCCAACAUUGGGAAAAGACCUCGGACAAUAAGAGAUUGCCUUGCCUGAACAUGAAGAAAUUGAACAGAAGAUUUGUCAGCUUCAAUGUCGAUCAGAAGUUAAGCUAGAUAAAAGGAACAAAUUUUGGAGGAGAAACGAGAAGCAGGUUGUAGAUCCCCACAUUGGUAGUGGAAACAGACGUGAUCUACACAGAGUAUGGAGGCGCUUAAAUAGUUAAUCGUUGCAAUUUCAAAUAUUUUUGUCAUUCUGAUAUUCUCAUUUAAUAAAUCAAAGAACGAAAACUUUUAGACACAAGCAAAAAGCUCAACAGGAUAACUUAUCAUUCAUUUUAAUGUCACCGCUGCAAUCACAUCAAAUAAGUUGCUCACAGGAGUGGCUCCAAACAAGAAAUGCAAAAUUAAAAGAAAAUAUUGAGAAAGUAUUGGACAACUCUUCUCACAAUUGUUAAAAAGACAACAUAUUAUCAUGGCAGUUCCCAAAAAGGGAUACAAAAUUCAGCAUUAUUGAGGUGAAGUAUUGAAUGUUGGAGUAAACACCUAAUGAUAAUUUAUCAGUUUAGAUGAAUAGAAACUAGUCAAUCCAAUGAUAAGUCAAAACACAAACUAAAAGUAUAGAGUAAACAAGGUCUCACUAGUAACAUAACAAUCACUAUUCAAUGCAUUUAACAGGCCAUCAGCUGAUGAAUUAUAGAUUUGAUAACUAAAGAAACUUCGAGCUUUAGGCUGUACCUCAAAUGCACCACUAAAACUCCACUUCAGCUGAUUUGUCUUGAGUCGAGGAAUGACAACAGACAAUACUGGCAUUGUUGGCCUAUAUUUAGCUAUCAAUCUAUGUAAUGAACAUAAGUUACAACUCUUGUAAAGAAAGAAACACUCAAUAUACCAACUAGUACAGUAAUAACGAAUAAACACUACCUUGCUGCCCUUCCAGAUGAAGUGAAACAAAUAAUUACUGAUGCUUUCACCUUGAUGGCGGCUCUUACCUAGAGAAGAAAGGAAUAUAAGGUUUUAUUGUGGUAAAUAACAGUAUAAAGCAUCUCUAUUUCUAGAAAUAUUUCUUUUCCCAUUUUAGGGUGUUGCAUUAAAAAAAAAAUAUACCGCUGAUGAGGCAAUUGCUUCCAAGUGUGUCAUGGGCUCUCCAACAAAUUUCACUGUUUUCUUGAAGUAUAGGUCUUGAUUGAAAACCUUCCCUGCCUGCAUGGAAAUUAAUUGCUGAUUAGUCCUGCUAGCCAACAGCUCAAGUAGGUCAAUAGACAAAAUGAUGAGCUCGCCCGUCAAAAGUUACUGCAAACGGUAACUACAACGCCAUAAAACUUGGCAACUGAAGACCAGACUGAACACGUCCUUUCAGAGCUCAAACCAACAAUACCAGGAGUGAUGAUAGAGCAAAUAUUUUUGACCCUAAGAAUGUUCUUGAAAUGUCAUAGGAAUUUAAGAUGUAGUUAUUUCUAAACUAGAAAAUCUCGAGCAAACAUAAGCCACGCAUGUCGAUUCUAUUCUAUUGAAGGAUUCAACAUACAGCUCUUUAAAAGAUAGUUAGGAGGCAAUUUCCUAAACUAAAUAAAACUUCAGGAAAAUAUUACCUCGGCACAAAUUUUGCCAACAGUGGAAAUAGUCUCGACUGGGUAUAAUCCACGCAGAGUCUCAGCACCAAGAAGAAUAGCAUCAGUUCCUGAAAGUGUUAAAUGUUAAAAUCUCUAAAGAAGUCAAGUUGUCUCAAUUAAGUUUCUUUAUUUUUUGAUAACCAGGAAAUCCCCGAGGACAAGUGGUGCACAAAUAAAAACUCGGUGGAUAAUUGAGAGGUGUCCCAAUUACGUGUUAAAAUAGUGCAUCAAUGUUAUUAUGACUAAUUAGAUGUGAAAGGAUAAAAGAAGAACACCAAUCCAUUGAAAUAAAAGUCCCAAGAAGAUUACCAUCCAAGACAGCAUUAGCAACAUCUGUUGCUUCAGCACGAGUAGGCCUAAGAUUGUCAGUCAUGCUAUCAACAACACGUGUUACUACAGCUGGCUUGCCAGCCAUGUUACACUUGUGAACAGCAGCCUUCUGGAACAAGAACACCUGCAAAUCGCCUGAUAUCAGCAUAGCUACAAAAAAUUAUGGCACACAAAUUUUGUAAUGGAAUUAUAUGUUAGUAGGAGAAACAGUGUAUGUAGACGGCUUACAAUCAAUCAAUAUGUUGUUUUAAAUUCAACCUGUUUGCACUCAAAAAAUAUUAAGGAAAUAAUUAACCGUAAAGAUAUCUAUUUUAUACGAGAACGUGGAGUAUAAGGAGCACAUGACUUCCAUGCAUCUCUUUCUGGUGUUCUGGGGUUUGGUCCAGGCAGGAAAAGGAAGGAGGGAACAAGAUGCAUCACAUUAUUGAUUCCACUUUGGUUGGAACAACGGAAUCUCUAUGUUUACAUGCUUAUAAUGUCGAACAGAAAUGAAAUUUGUCUGAAUGGCCAACCCACUUAUCAAGCAUCUAAACAGAGACUGUCGAGAAGAUAGUUUACCUUCUCUGGUGGAAGAUCAAUACCGAGGUUUCCACGAGAAAGGAUGAUCCCAUCAGCCUCUUUGAGUAUCUCAUCAAAAUGAGUCAAACCCUGUAUAGAUAACAGAAAGAAAAGUAGAAAGUUAAUGCCAAGCCCUUGCAGAAUUCAUGAUAUUCAAUGUAAACGGAGACCACAUGGGACCUGUUAAAAAAAAAAAAAAAAACUCGCUAAAAAUACAAGGCCCGUGCAGAAUUCAUGAUAUUCAAUGUAAACGGAGACCACAUGGGACCUGUUAAAAAAAAAAAAAAAACUCGCUAAAAAUACAAGUGUAUCAACUAACCUCCACAUUUUCAAUUUUUGCUAAGAUCUGAGUUUGACUUAGAUCACCCAGCUUAGAUAAGAACUCACGAGCCUGGAUUUUAGCACAAGGAUGAAGUCAAUUUCAUAUUGUCAGAGUCCGUACAAAUGCAAAUUGUCAUGACAGUAAGGAAUCUUAAAGGAAACGAAAUGAAAGUCAUGAAAAUAGAUACCUCACGGACAUCCUCAGCAUGUCUUGUAUAUGAUAGUGAAAUGAAAUCAAUUUUAUUUUGAACACCCCAUGUGCUUAUAACCUGAAAUAAAUUAACAUAACAAAGAAUCCAAAGUGAAUAAAGAGGGAACACCCUGCAAAAAAUAACCAAAAUAGGACACAAAACAAAGAGCAAAAAGUAGCUUUCCGGAGGCAAACUCUGUAUGAUCAGUGAUUACAUGCUUGCUAAUAAACUAGGGUAAGAUCAUACGUAAUGCAAACAUCAAUACAAGGAGGAAAAAAGGACCCACUUAUCUUUGUUGAGAAGUGUUUGGACCCAAAUUACACUUGUGAGAAACACACACAGUAGUUAAACAAAUUACCUAUAUGGUAUCAUUCUAGAACGCUCAAGAAAAGGCAAAUGUAGAAAUCCAUUUGUGCUAUAACAUUAACUAAUAACGCUAUUGUUAGUUUAUGCAGGAAACAAGAAUGAAACUGUGUUACAAUUCAUCCAACUCAUAUAUGUACACUAAGCUCCAAUGUUAUGACUGAUCCAAUUCAUAUAUGUCAAUUACAAAGUCCAAAUAAUCCUACAAUCAAACCCAUGACUAAAGAGUAGCAGUUAGAAAUAUGCUCAAAAAUCAAGUCCUCGGAGAUAAUUAUCUUUAAUGGAGUAGCUUGAAACUUCAUAAUCAUAAGUAACAUGGACAUCGUUCUUAGCAAUUGUCAUGAAUUUCGAGUAGCUUACCUCCUUGUCUUUUUCAGUGAGCGUUGGCAUAUCAAUAUGAACUUGAGAAGCAUGUAGAGUGAACAAUGACCCAGCUAAAGUGGCAGAGUUCUUUACCACGCAAACGACAUCAUCACCAUUCACUUGAUCUACCUGUGAACAUAGACUGAUUUUCUUAAUCCAAAUCAGUAGAUUGUAUAAAUUACAAACACAUCACAGCUUUCAUUCAUGAACGAACUUCCUGUCUUCUCUUUUUUUGAUAGCGAAAUAGUCCCUUCCCCCUACUCUUCUCCACCUAAUUACCAAGCUUUUUGUCUGUUGCAAGGCUUGAACAUGUGAUGUGCACAUCACGUGUUGCGCUCUCACUACUAGACUAAAUCCCUGGGAGCCACUAAUCAAUAAACUUAUUUUCAUAAAAUAAUAGCUAAAUCCUACAUUAAACAGGGAUUUGUAAUGCCGGAAAUGUAAUACAUGGAUUAGUAGGGGUGAGAUUUACGUACUUCCUACUCUCCCCAAACCCCACUGCAGGACUUCAUUGGGUAUGUUGUUGUUAUUGGAUUAUUAGGACUGUAAUGUAGGCAAUAUUUGUUAUUAAAAAUUACUAUGUAUUGCAUAUUUAAUUUUUUGAAAGUAUAAUUUACUAUGUAUUGCAUAUUUUUAAGUAUGUUUUUUUAACGAAAUAAAAUACAAAUUACCACAAGAAGGGUCAUUCGUCAUUCGGUUGUCUAUUUCACGUAUUGUAUAUGUGGAAGAGAAAAUUUGGAAGCACAGAUGGUAUGAAUAAUGUUAAAUGUUAAAUCAUACCUUAUAAAAAUGAAGUUUUAUAUGAAUAAUUCUAAGCUUUAACACUGUAUUAACAAUGUUUAAUUUUAUGUGGAGACUACUCUUUCUACUAAGCACAAUAGAAAAUCACCUAAGUACCAAGGACGGGGGAAGAAUAUCUAAUUCAUACCUCCAGCCAAACAGAUGUUGUUUCGCUUCCUGUGAAGAGGUACUGACCAACAAAAAUGGUGUCUCCCUUCUUUACAGCCUGCAAACAAAAGUAACAGCAUACUUUAGUACCAUGUAGCUAGUGAAUGUAAAUACUUAACUAGAAUUCGAUAAUCUUGUUCCACCAAGUUUUACAAUGCAUUUGCAAAUAACUGCUCCAUUUGUUUCCUUUAAAAAGUUUUACUUACCGAACUUCCAUAGCACUUAAUUUACUAACAUACACUGUAUGAAAGGGAAAAGUGAAAAACAAGAGAUGUGGGCUGGACCUUGGCUAAUCCAUCAAAGUUAAUUGGCAACACUUCAUCAGAUGCUUCUUGACCUUGAUGUGGGGUCAGAGUAACAAUUGCAUCUUCCUUAAGUGAAAUAGUUGUCUCGUUUUUGUUGACAACCUGCAACUCAGCACCCACAGUGUCUAGCAUAACCUGAAUGGAACAAAAACAUCAUGUUAUUUACUACCUUUAUAACAUAUCGAUUAUAUUAAAGUCUGUACGCCUGAGUAGAGUAGAGACGCACAAUUUACAACUAAAGCCUUCUUACACAUUAGCUGCACAACCCCAAAAUAAUAUUUGUUAAGUCCACUCCGAUGAUUCCAACUGACACCUCACCAAAGACAACAGAACUUACAACCGCCCCUCCCUCCACACCUUUUCUUUCUUAUUCAGCUGUGCAUUUUGUCACCACCCAGUGCCGCAUGCUUCAAGACAGAUGCAUGUUUCUAGGCACGUGUCUUUAUGACUAGUAAAAACACUGACGAGAGGCAGUUCCCAAAGCUUAAGACCCGUACCACACACAGGUCAAGGAUGUGAUUAAGCAUUCAAUAAAGUGUGAUGACAAACAUGUGAGAAUAGAGCUCAAAUCCCAGCAGAGACCAAAAGCUAAUUGAUUUCUUUCAAUGUGACUAAAACCUUGCAGGCAAAGUCAUCCAAUAUCUCUAUUGGUCACAAUUUAACACGGUAGUAAAGGACAGCCCGGAUCCCAAUGCACUAAAGCUUCGGCUACGCACAGGGACCGGACUACAAGGGUCUGUUGUACACAACCUUAACCUAGUAAGGUAAGGUAUAAGUCUAAAUACACCGGCCCCUGACCCACUCUCCACACAGGACAGAUGCACAAAAAAACAAAGUCUAGAAACUGAAGAAAUCCAAGACAAGAUAAAACCCAUGAAACAAACAAAACAGCAUUAAUAGCAUCAUCAGAAGCAAAAAAAAGAACAAAAUACAUACAGCACAAAGUUUCUUAGUGGCUUUAAUAGCAGCCUUCAAGUUCUCCAAAGUCUCCUGAUGAUAAUCUGAAUCUCCCCAUGAAAAAUCAAAUCUUGCCACUGCCAACACAACAAAAAUUAGCAAUCAAAAUUUACACAUCCCAAUACAAACCCAAUAAACAAAAUUUCAAGAUUUACCAGACAUUCCAGCUUUAAGACAAGCAGAAAUAGUCUCAACAGAUCGAGAUUUAGGACCCAAAGUCCCAACAAUCUUAGUCAUAGCCGGGAAAAAAUUCUGCAAACAUUCACAAACAAACAAAACACAUCAAUCCAAACAAAACAAAAACAUCAAACAUCACAUGCAAACAUAGAUCUACCAGUAAAAUACAUCCAAAAAAAAUGAAUCUUCUUGUAAAACACAUCAAAAAUAUUGAAUCUUUUACUAAAGUACACCAAAAAAAUUGAUUUCUUUUUUGUAAAAUACAGCAAAACAUUGAAUCUUUUCAGUAAAAUACAUCCAGAUAAAAAAAAAACUGAAUCUUCUUGUAAAAUAUAUCAAAAAAAUUGACUCUUUUACUAAAAUACAUCAAAAAGAUUGUUUUUUUUGUGUGUGUACAAUAAAGCAAAACAUUGAAUCUUUAAGUAAAAUACAUCAAAAAGACUAUCAAAUACAUUUAAAAAAACUGAAUUUUUUUGUAAAAAGCAUCAAGAAAAUUGUUUUUUUAAUGUAAAAUACAUGAAAAAGAAUGAUUUUUUUUUUGUACUUACAGGUUUGGAUGGCUCUAAAAUAGAGGCCAUCCUAAUGGGUUCUUCAAGAAGUAAGUGAUUUGAAUGCAUAUUUGAUGAAUUAAGAGAAGACCAAUAUGACAACUUGGGUGAAAAAGGAGAAGAAGAAUGUGGUGUUUGGGGAGUUUGAGGUGGUCUCUAUUGGUGUUUUUAAGGGGUUUUUGAUUCUUUUUAAAAACCUGUGGGAAGGGAGGCUGCGGUGGAAUACUUUUGGUUUAUUUGUUUACUUUUCACACAAGAAAUUUCUUCAAACUACUACUAUAUAGGAGUAGUAAUCAAAUAAAUUAAAUUUUCAGGUGAGGUUAUUUUUAGUCUUUCUUUUUAUUUUUUCCCUUUUUUAUCUUUAAUAGGAAGGGAUUUUCGAAAAUAGUCUUUUAAAUUUUAAGAAAUAGAAGUAGAAUUUAUGUAUAUUCUUACUUUUUUAUGUUACGGUAUGUAGUAGGAGUAUUAUUUUGUAGAAAUUUUAUCGAAUAUAUUAUUGUUAUUGUUAAUUUUCUUUUUCAAACAAGUAUUUAAAAAAAUAAAUAAAUUAUCUUAUGUUAAGGAUCUUUUGAAAAUAAUUAAGAAUAAGCAUACGCUUUAUUUUUUUUAUAUCUCAUUUUGUGGGAUUUCAUGAAAUAUGAUGUUCGUUAUUUAUUUCUAUUUUUUUUUUCAAACAAGUUAUUUUUAGUUUCGCUUGUGAAAUUGGGGUAACAAGUUGUAAAGAUUUUUAAAAAGAUACUAAAAGAGUAGCUCGUACAUUAAAACUCCAGAUAUGCAUGGAAAAAGAAGUUGAAUCAUAAGAAUAUAAAGUUUUAAAGAUUUUUUAAAAAGUAUUAUACAUAUUAGUAAAUAAAUAUUCAAAACUAGCUUCAACUUAAUUGAGCAUCUAGACAUCUCAACUUGUCAUUACAAAUUAUAUCAAUUGAAUACUUCAGUUACAAAAUUAUCAUUUAGAUACCUUCAAGAUUUAUGUUACAUUAAUUUUGGAUAUUCAUGAAACAAAGUGGAGACGAGUUGGAGUUUUUAAUUAUCAAUUGAGAUCAAGUUGAAGUAUCUAAAUGUGAACUCUCGAAAUUCGAGUGUUUAUUCAGUUGAAAUCGACUUUAAAUAUAUAUAUUUUAUGCAUUUUUUUUUAUUUUUCUAAAAAGAGAAAAUAUAAAUAGUGACCUAAGAAAAACGCAAGGUUAACUAGUGUGGCUUCCACUCGGUAUAUUCUGCGGAUCAUGUGAUUAAUUAAUGCUUGUGAAACACUGUAAUUUGCACGUUGCCUUUAAUUAAUUAAUGUUUAAAAUUUCAAGACUAUUUAUAGUAAUUUCUAAACAACUAAAUUUCCAUUAAAAUUGAUAAACAUUCAUUUGUAAAAACAUUAUACUCGAAGUUGAAGUGUGAAUUUGAUUUUUAAAAGAAUAAUCUAAAAUGUAAUUAUCUUUCACGUCAAUUCUUUUAUUUAUUUUUGUUUGUGCACUUUGAGUUUUGUAUACCUCUUAAAAAAUACUCCCUCCGUUUCGAAAUAAGUGAAUUGUUGAGGUAUUUAUUGGUGUUUCAAAAUAAGUGAAUCAUUAAAAAAAUUUUCCAAAUUUACCAUUAUGAUUUGACAACCAAUUAACUUUUGAAAAGAUAUUACAAGGUCGAUUUUUUCUUUUUAGGAAUAAAAAUGAAAAGUUGUGUUAAAUUUAUAUCUUUAAUAUUUUUUUUCUUAAUCUAUGUGUCAAAAUUCAAUAAUUCAUUUAUUAUGAAAGGAAGAAAGUAAUGUUGAAUAUAAAAAUAUUUUAUCACAAUAUUUAUAUUAGUGGAUGUUUAAUCUUAAAUUUUAGGGAAAAUAAUUUGAAGGAGAGCGAGAGGGGUGGGGUGUUUUCUUGUGGAGAUUAAUUAAUGGAGACAAAAGAAAAAAGGUGGGCGUAAAGAAUGGGACACUGUCGUACUUGUAUGUUCUAGUACAAAACAUGUGUUUUGAUGACGUAGAGGCCCAUAAAAUGAAAAAGAAAAUAAGAAUAACUAGGGGUGUGUUUGGUAUGAUGGAAAAUAUUUUCCGUGGAAAACGUUUUCUUGAAAAAUGUUUUUCUGGAAAAUAAGUUGGUUUUCUACUUAUUUUCUUAUAUUUGAUUGGUGAGUGAAAAAUAUUUUUCGAAAGUUUUUUUUUGGUGUUUGGUUGGUGAAUAGAAACUAUUUUUUUAGAAAAAUAAUUUCUAGUGUUUGAUUGGUGAGUGAAAAAAAUAUUUUUUUAGAAAAUACUACUAACUGUUAACUAGUAUAUCAGUGUCUUUAGCAACUCAACAAUUUGUAAGAACUAAUUUAAGCAUAACAAAUAAUAUCAAUAUCGAAUGCUAAAAUAUUACAAUCACUAAAUUUAAGCAACUAUUAAUUAGCAAAUAUAGAAGACGCUUUUCAAUAUUUUGUUAGGACAAUCUCAAGAUACUACAAUCAAUAGAAAUAUAACGGAACGACAAGCUUAUUCAAUUACAUCGAUGACAAAAUGAGAUAUGCAAUUAGCAAAAGUAACAUAGGUAAGUUUCUCUCUGUGCAUAUGAAAAUAACAAUAAAUUCAAUGAACAUUGAAAAUGAAAAAAAUUCGGGUUUCGCUAUUUUUUAUUUCAAACAGUGAAAAACUGAAGCAAAGAACAAAGAAAUAUAUUUUUGAGAAAUGUGAAUUUUUUUGAGUCAUGUGAAUAUGAGUGUUGUUUGGGUGGGGAAGAGGGGUGGGGGUGGGGUCAUAAGUUACAUUAGUCAUUUUUCCUCAAAUUAAGAAAAAUGAGUUGUUGUGAAAAAUGUUUUCCAAACAUUUUAUUGCAACCAAAUAAGGGAAAAUAGAAAAACAUUUUUCGGAAUACCAAACACGCCCUAGGUGUAAAUCACAUGUUUUGAAGCAGUAGGUCAGAGUUCUUUUGUCUAUUGAAAACAAAUACUACUGUCUUAUCUGGAUUGCGGUGAGACGAACGAGAUCUCUUUAUUCUUGAGUUUGAGAUUUGAAAAAAAUCGAACCUUAUUCUUUACGAGACACAAGUUCAAAUUAAUUGAAACUCUAAUAGAAGAAAAACUUCAGUAUAUCAAGAAUAUUCAAGCAAACAUUAUUUGUUGAAAAAUUAUGUCGUGUAUAUCAAUAGAAUGAUACUUUACAUAGUUAAGUUUAUGUUUCGAACACCCUUGAAACAUAUGACAUUGUACUUCGUCUUUAGCUGUUCAUGUAAAGGCAAUGUAUCAUGUACCCAAAUUCAAAUACUAUUGGUGAAACUUUUAAUUCCAUCAUUAAGUUAAGCUCUAAUAUAAAUAUUAAACAACAAAUUAUUUUAUUAACGUAGUGUCACAAUCAACUUGUGCCCUUUCAUGAAGUAAAUGUUGCCUACUGCCAAAAGGUAAUGAGUUUAAUAAGAUUUGUGUUGUUAAUUACUCCCUCGGUUUCAUAAUAAGUGAAUUGUUAGAGUAUUUUUUAUGUUUCAAAAUAAGUGAAUGGUUCAAAAUUCAAGGUAAAUGUUGAAUUUUUUUUUCCAAAUUUACCCUCUAUUAAAUGUGCAUUGGGAGUGAUGUAUCAUGUGUCUUUGCUUUUUGAAGAGGGUAAAAAUGAAAAAACAUGAUAAAUUUAUAUAUUUUUUUUUCUUAAUAUGUGUGUCAAAAUUCAACAAUUAACUUAUUGUAAAACGGAGGGAGUAUUUUGGUACAGAGUAUUUGAUACGAUUAAGUAAACUUAAUUCGUAGAUGAAGUUUAACUACUAGGAUAGAAAGUCAAUUUUUUAUUUUAGAGGCCCAUAAAAUGAAAAGAAAAUAAGAAAAACUAGGUGUAAUUCACAUGUUUUGAAGCAGUAGGUCAGAGUACUUUGGCUAUUGAAAACAAAUACUCCUAGCACGUAAAAAAGAAAAAAAAAACUUUAAUAGUAUUGAUGUCUUAAUUGGGGUGCGAACUUGCGAUGGAAUGAAUGAGAUCUCUUUAUUUUUAAAGUUUUGAAUUCGAAAUCUAUGUUAGAAAAAGAUUGAAUCUUUCUCUUUGACAUAAACUUUAUGAGACACGAAUUUAAAUUAAUCGAAGAUCAGACAAAUACUUUUUAUCGAAAAAUUAUAUCAUAUAUAUCAGUAUAAUGAUACUUUAUAUGAUUAAAUUUUGUAUUUCAAACACUCCAAAAUACUUCGUCUUUAGUUGUUCAUAUAAAGGCAACUUUGAAUGCACCCAAAUUCAAUUACUCUUCGUAAAAUUAUUGAUUCCCAUCACUAGAUUUUAAUAUAAAUCUCGAACAUACUUUUUUCUUUUGUUGGAACAUGUAAAAUGUUGUCAAAAUCUGUGGGCAGAAUUAGUACUCCCUCCGUUUCAUAAUAAAUGAAUUGUUGAAUUUUAGCACACAGAUUAAGGAAAAAACAAUAAAGAUAUAAAUUUAAUACAACAUUUCAUUUUUACCCUCUAAAAAGCAAAAGUUCACUUUUAAUGCCUUUUCAAAAAUUAAUUGAUUGUCAAAUCAUAAGGGUAAUUUUGAAAAAAAAUUCAAUGAUUUAUUUAUUUUGAAACACUAAUAAAUACCCCAACAAUUCACUUAUUUCGAAACGGAGGGAGUAACUUUUUAUUUUUGGGUGAUGUGCGCAAAUAAAGUACAGUACUACUUUUAUAACCUAGGGUCACAGUCAACUUAUGCCCUUUCAUGAAGUAUUUGUUGCCUUCUACGAAAGGGUAAUGAGUUUAAGAUUUGAGCAAUAUUAGUUUACAAAAUUAAUUUUUUGAGCAAUAAAUUUAAUUUAAUAUUACAGAUUAUCUAAUUUUUUUUAUAUAAAGAUUCAAAAAAAAAGUAAUCCACAAUAAUAGAUAAAAUUAAAGUUUAUUUGACAGUAUAGCAUACAAAAUUUAAAUUCAAUGAUAAUUUAUGUGCCCUUUGAAUAUUUGCACAAGUAGAAUGUUUUAGUGCAAAUUUGUCUUGCCAUAAAGCCUAACGAACUCGCAGAGAUUUGCGACAAAUCCCGGCAAUGAAAAAUCUUUGUCAUGUCGUAAACGUGACGAAUUCUUAAAAUUUAAUCAUAAAAUUGAAAAUAUCGUAAACGUGACUGAUUCUUAAAAUUUAGUCAUAAAAUUGAUUUAUUAUAGUUUUUCAAUACGUUUUUUGCUUUAGACAGUGUCAUGAAUGAAUUUCAAAUGACUUCAAAUUUGAUAAACAAAAUUCUAAUGCUAACCUCAAUAAUUCACGUUAGAUUCAAUCUAAACCUUCAAAAAUCACGUGACUCCCAUUGUCUUCUUUCGAUAAUCAAGUUCAAUAAAAUUCAAUUAUGAUAUUUAUCAAAUUUAAUUAACCAAAUCCUCAGAGGACACCUGUGAAAAUUAGUAUUAUAAUCCUUAUAUAUAAUACUAUACUAUGAGUCAAAGUUUUGCUGCUCCAAUCUUGCCAUCAUCAAUAUUAGGUCAAUUUAAUAAAAUAUAUAAAAAUAAUUUUCAAUUGUUCAAAGUGAUUUGAAAAAAAAAAACGUACUAAAUUUAUUGGAUUUUUGUUGCACCGGAUACUCAAACUUAGGUUCGAAUUCUUCAAAUUGUAUUAGUUACUUAGAAGAUUGAAAAAACUAUAUCAAAUAAGGUAUUACUAAUAUACAAAAUCAGUACAUGCAUUAAUCAAUGAUGGAGUCAGGAUUUUCAUUGAGGGGGUUCAAAAGUAUAUAUACAAACUAGUUGAAGGUGUUCAACAUCUACUAUAUAUGCAUAAAAAAUAUUUUUAAUCAUGUAAAAUAAUAUAAAAACAGUAUAAUUUUUUAUCGAAGGGGUUCGAAUUGAAUCCCAUGGAGCAAAAGUGGCUCCGUCACUUGCAUUAAUACAAUAACUAAUAUCAACAUUAUUACUGCAAAUAUUACUAAUACACCAUAUUCUACAAUAUUCUUAUACACCUACCAAACUGCCUUGUUAAGUUUGAUACAAAUAAAGACCUAAUUUAAGACAAUAGACUUAUGUUUGCAUGCAUUGCCAUUUUGAUUAUACCACUUCAUCCAAAUGUUGGUUUUACCUCUUAAAUUUUUCAUGUGAUUUUUAUUAUACUCAUCUAGGACUCUCUUCAAUAUUUAUUCAUACAAGUUCAAUAUCGAUCAGAAAACGUCACUACCACCAACAGAGACGGAUCUAAUGUUAUAUAUCACGUUCAUUUGGAUUUAAUAUUUUCAAUGUGAAAUACUAUAUAUUUAUAUGUAAAUAUUUACUAAAAUUACAAUAAGUAAAACUUUGAUCAAGCUAAAAAUUAUAAUGAUUGAACCCAUAAAAUUUAAAUUUUUAACUCCUUUCAAUCGAGGGUCCUUCGAAAAUAAUUUCUCUAUCUUUACAAGUUAAGACUAAAUUUUAAUUGUAAAAUUUCAUUGACUAUGUUAUUGUUGUUCCAUAAUAGACUUGCAAUCUUUUAUAUAGGAGGUGGCCACUGGCCAUUAGGGGGCUACAAAAGACAGGUAUACAGAAAUAACCCUUUGGUUACACAAAACAUGCAUUCAGUAAUUCUUAUUUGAGCAUUAGAACAUUUCGUUGUACUAAAUAUAAGUUGUUUAUUGGUUAGAAAAAAAGAGUAACAAUAUGCUCCUUAUUUUAGUUAUUUUAUUUAUCUAAUCAUUUAGGUAACUCAAGUAUGUAUUUUUUUUUUACAUUAUACUGUAAAGAAGAAAAGGGGACAAGUGAGAUGACUUAGUUGAUGCAAGAGGUGGUAUUCUAUAAGGAAGGUCCGAGAUUAAUUUUCUCCAUCUGACUUCUUCUCAGUCUAGCUCACGACACUAGAAAACACUUCUUUAAAAAUAGUGUAUAAAUUUAAAUUAAUCAAACUAGUGAAUUAAAUAUCAAAUGGUUAUACUAAAUUCUUAUAAAUGCAGAGAAAGGAAAUUUCCCUUUGGGCUCCACUUCUCUAAAUGGGAACAAGGAUAUUAUUUCUUUCUUUCACUUUUCCAUAAAACCAAACAAAGAAACUGUAAUAUCUUUCUGCCUUUACACUUUCUUGAUUUUGACUUCCCUUUCCUUUUCAUUCCUUUUCUGUUCUUCAUUUCACUGCUUUCUCAAGAAAUCCAAACAAACUAAGGUUGAUCUUUAAUUUUUAUCCUUCAAAAUCAAGCUUAUAUUAUGGUGCUCUGGAGGAAGGUAGUAGGUACUAAGGUACCCUGCGGAGUUGAUGCACACAAAUUGGCCCGAACAGUAUGAUAAUUGAAAAAGGCAGUUGUUCUUGUUAAUUUUAUCUGCACUUUGUAUCAGGGGCGGAUUCAGGGUGCUGGGUGGGGGAUCCCGGAAACCCAGUAACUUUCGUACGGAACUAUUAUUUAUAUAGCGAAAUCAAGUAAAUAUAUAAGAAUUAUAAGUUAGAAACCCAUAAAUAAAGUGUGUUGUUGGUCUAGUGGAGUAGAUAGAUUUGUAAAAGAUUUAUUGUCCUCUUAGUUGUAGGUUCAAAUCCCCGUAGCCACUAUUUGUUUUUAUUUUUGUUAAUGCAAAAAAUCCACAAACUUUAAAUACUGCCUGUUUGAUAUACACUAUGUAUAUAGUUGGAGAUUCCCAUCAAAUGUAGUAAAAAAAAAAAAAAACAAUGGUACUGCCAGGACCAUACAUCUGGUCGACCAUACGUGGUAAUGAAAAUACAAAGUAUACUCUAUUUCUCAGCAUUAACAAAUUUAUGGACGUCAUGUCUACCAGGUCGUCUCUAUCGUGAAGAUUAUGACUGCAUUUACCAGUUACCAUAACCACCUUUACCAUUCCAGGCAGUGAUUCCCAGAACAGAGUUGUGAUGGAAGCUGUGUAGAUGAAUCCUCAUAGAAGCUGAAACAAUUUUCGGUCAGAAACGCGGCACCAACGUGCUUGGUGCAGCUAAUGAGCAAACCAUAGGAAGUAGAGGUGAGUAGAUAAUUUCAAUCAGCAAAGUAGCCGAUGGAAGAGAUUUCUAAGUAGGGUAGUACCAUGAAAUUCUCGUCCAAUCCACAGAAGCGCAAACACACUCCAUUCAGAUUAUGUUCUUCAUUUUUCUGCUGUUCCUCUUGCAUGCCUUAACGGUUAGGAUUGAACAUCACCCUCUAGCCAAUCAAACAUCAUUGUCAUUGGACUGAAUCAAUGAUAUUGAGGAAGUCGGUCAGAUCCUUCUUCUCAACUAAAUUAUUGACAUUUACUAGUGAUAAUAUAAUAUGUGGGGGGAAGGGCGGGCCGCACCCUUGCCCCCAAGGGUGUGAUGUAGACAACAUAUCCUAAUACAAACAUUAGUGGUUGCUUCCACGGCUUGAACGCGUGACCUAUAAGUCAAACAGAAACAACUUUACCGCUGCUCCAAAGAUCCCCUCAAGUGAUAAUAUAAUAUACAACAACAUACCCAGAUCCCAGUGUAAUCCCAUAAAGUGGGGGAGUACUGAUAAUAUAAUACAGUAAGCAUAAUUAGAAAAUACUGAUGAUUCCUAAACAAGAAAUACUUCAUUUUUUGGUAAAAUCUUUGCGUCGCUUGUCAGAUAUUAGUUUGGUUUGGAAACCAAACCAAAUUGUUCUCUUUUAUAACGCAGUGUCACAAUCAACUCGUGCCCUUUCAUGAAGUAUUUGUUGCCUUCUAUCAAAAGGUAAUGAGUUCAAGAUUUGUGUAUUGUUGGUGUACAAAAUAUUUAAUAUUAUCAAGUAAAUUUGAUCUGCCAUUGCAGAUUAUUGAGUUUUUUUACAUAAAAAUUGAAAAAGAAAAAAUUAGUUAAUCUAUGAUAGCAUAUAAAAUUUAUCUGAUAGUAUAGAGUAGUUUAUACAGAGAUAAAGCACAAAACUUAAAUUUAAAGAUAAUUCUGUGCCCCUUGAACAUUUGCAUAAGUACAAUGUUUUAGUGCAAAUUUGCCUUGCCAUAAAGCCUAACGUACUCGCAGAGAUUUGGGCAAAUUCUAGCAAUGAAAAAUCUUUAUCAUGUCAUAAACUUGACGAAUCCUCACAAUUUAAUCACAAAAUUGAUUUAUUAUAUUUUUUAAUAUUUUUUUUUUGCUUUAAAAGUGUCAUGAAUGAAUUUCAAAUGACUUCAAAUUUGCUAAAGAAAAUUCUAAUAGUAACCUCAAUAAUUCAUGUUUGCUGAGGAUUUUAGGGAAAUAAUCUCUCAAUCUUUUCGAGGCAGUGAUAAAAUAUAUGUAUAUUUUAUCCUUCUAGACCUCACUUAUAGAAUUUCACUUAGUAUAUUAUUGUUGUAGUAGCCUCGAUAAUUCACGUUAUAUUCACUCUAGACCUUCAAAAAUCACGUGACCCCAUUGUCUUCUUUCGAUAAUCAAGCUUAAGAAAACUCAAUUAUGAUAUUUAUCAAAUUUAUUCAACCAAAUACUCAACGAACACCUGUGAAAAUUAGUAUUAUAGUCCUUUUAUAUAAUACUAUACUAUGGGUCAAAGUUUUGCUGCUCUAAUCUUGCCAUCAUCAAUAUUAGGUCAAACUUAUAAAAUAAAUAAAAUAAUUUUCAGUUGUUCAAAGUGGUUUGAAAAGAAUCCGCACUAGAUUUAUUGAAUUUUUAUUUCGCCUGAUACUCAAACUUAGGUUCGAAUUCUUCAAAAUGUAUUAGUUACUAAAUAGAUUGAAAAAAAUAUCAAAUAAGGUACUAUUAAUAUAUAAAAUUAGUACAUGCAUUAGUGUGACAAUCAACAUCGAUAUUAUUAGUGCAAAACAUUAUUAAUACAUCAUAUUCUAAACUAUUCUUAUAUAUUCUGCCAAACUUACCCUAUUAUUGUUAAGUCUGACACAGACCUAAUUUAAGACAAUAGACUAAUGUUUGCAUGCAUUACCAUUUUGAUUAUACCACUUCAUCCAAAUGUUGGUUGGUUUUACUAGUUAGUGUUUGUUUGGAUUUUAUAAUGCACGGUAUUAUAUGAUAUAAUACUGUACCGUAUAAUACAAUAUAAUGUUUGGAUGGAUUAUACUGUUCACUAUUGUUUAAUAAUAAUUUUAUUAUUUGUUUGAUAUGAUACUAUAUCGUAACUGGAAAGUUUAUUAAAAUGUCUUUACUUAUUAUAAAUGUUAAAUUAAUCAAUAAUUAUUAAUAAAAUAUUUUUUUUCUUGCUAAUUUAUUACAAAUUAUGUCAUAUAAAUAUAUAAAGUUGUUAAAAUUCAUGUUAACUCUAAAAAAAUCAAUAAAAGAUUAGAUCAAACUAAAUCCAAUCGAAUUCAUUUUUUAUAGUAACAAAUUUCAUUUUCUUUUGGUGUUUUGAGACGUGACCAUCAACGACAAGUACAAAAUUUGAAUGCACAUUUUGUAUACUACGGAUGUGUUCAGGAUGAAUCUCAAAAAAGAAAAUUUAGGAAAAUAAAUUAUUCCUUACUUAUUUUCUUGUGUUCGUUAUACAAAUAGAAAAAUAUUUUUUAAAACAUUUGUCUAUAUUUAACACAAAACAAUGAGAACGAAUAAACUAAGGGAUGGAGUAAGAAAAAAAUUAUUAUUUUUUUUAAAAAAUAAUUUAGGGGUGGAGGAGGCGGCGGGGUCAGGGUCUGGGGUGAGUACGAACAAAAGUUUUGAUUUUUUUUUUUAAAAUACAUUGAAUAAAAUUUUGUGAGGGGGGAGGGGGGAAGCAGGGGCUGAUAGGGAAUAUGGGUGGAGUAAGAAAUUUGUUUAAUGAAUAAAUUUUAAAAAUAAAAAAAUUGGUGUUGCUAGGUGGGGGGUAGGGGUGGGUGAGGUUGGGGUAAGAAAAAGUUUUGAAAUUUUUUUAAACAAUAUAUUUUUUAAAAAAUGGUUGGGGUGUGGCGUCGGGCUAGGGGGUGGGAUUAGAAUAAAUUUUAAAUUUUUUUAUAAAUGAUUUUAAAAAAAAAAAUUAGAGGAGGGGGUGAGGAUCGGGAUAGAAAGUGGAGUUAAAUAAUAUAGGGUAAACGGUAAAAUAAUCUAUAUCUAUAAUCUAUAUCUAUAGUAUAUUCAAAGUGUGAAAACCCUUAGAAGAGUGAUUUGAACUUUUUGUCCUUCAUUAAAAGACUCUUUUUUGGACAAAACUGUCUUUUCACUAUUUUUUUAAUUUAUUAUUUAAUUAUUUUUUAUUAUAUUAACUAGACUUCUUAAAAUACAUGGGACUCCUAAAAUAUAUGGUAGGAGAAUUAAUUAAUAUUUUUCUUUCUACUAUACUUCUUAAAAUAUGGUAGGAGAAUUAAUUAAUAUUUUCCUUUUUACUGUUCAAUUAGAAAAAUGUGCCUAAAAUAGGACUCUAUUAAUUAAGAAAAUAGUUCUAUAAAUAUUGAUAUGUACGUUAAAAUAGAGAACAAACCAAUCUGUCUAUUGGGAGAAUAUGAUUGAUACUCAUGUAACUUGAUUCGAUUGUAUGUCUAGAUUGGCGGAUGCUUAAUUUUCUAACGCGUAACUUAUUCACUGUUUUUAUCAACAUAAUAGAAUUCAACACGUGUGUGUGAUAUCUUCUUUGUUUUCAUUCAAAAUCAUUCUUUAAGGUCAAAAUUUUCGCUCAAACAAGAAUUAGUUAAAUCAAAAUCGAAACUUUGUGAUCACUAUUAUAUUAUUUUUUUAUAGUUUACAAGUCGUAGUGAAUGUCGGUUGGCUUUGAAGAAUUUCUUGUGUAAAUAUUAGAUUUAAUUGUAUUGUUUUGAUAUCUUUUUAUCUUAUUAUUUUAUUUUAAUUUACAAAUGCUAGAUCAAUGUGAGUCGGCUUUGAAAAUUUUUUUUAGGUAAAGGUUAGGUUUAAUUGUAUUAUCGUAAUAUCUCUAUUAGUUUGUUAUUUUGUGGUAGUUUACAAUUCGUAGAUGAAUCUCGAUCAGUUUUGAGAAAUUUUUGUGUGUAAAAUUCAAGUUUAAUUGUAUUGUUUUGAUAUCACUUUUAUCGUAUUAUUUUAUUGCAGUUUACAGGAGAUAGAUAAAUGUUGGUUGGCUUUGAGUAUUUUUUUAUGUAAAGGUUAGGUUCAGUUGUAUUAUUUUGAUAUCUCUGUUAUCGUAUUAUUUUAUUUUUGUUUACAGGUGGUAGAUGAGUGUCGGACGACUCUGAGAAAAAUUUUGUGUGUAAAGAUUAGAUUUAAUUGUAUUAUUUUGAUGUCUCUAUCAUUCUAUUGUUUUGUUGCAAUUUACAGAUGGUAGAUGAAUGUCGAUCGACUUUUAAAAAUAUUUUUGGUAAAGUUAGGUUUAAUAAAUAAAUUUUCCAUCUUUACAUACUCAAAAGAUAUUAAAUUUAAUUAUUAUAUUUACCUUUAUUAUUUAAACAAAUCUCCUAUUUAGUGUAGUGUUUGAACUCAUUAAAGUGAGGUACACGCGCAAGACGUGUACACCUAAACUAAUAUUAUAUAAUAUCAAGUAAGGCAUAAUUAAAAAUAAAACAUGGGAUACCACCAAAUCAGUGGUUACAUAAAGUGAGAAUUUUCAUAGUUACCCAACUAUGAAAUUAACUAAAAAUUACACAAACCCACAACUCAUGUUUCAUUUAUUACAAAAAAUCCAUCUCCCUAAACAUAUUACGUAAAUCCCAUUUUUUAAGUUUCUCUCUCUAAAAGUACAUAUACAUAUAAAUUCCUUUUGCUUUCACGAUUUUUUCUCUAAAAAAAGGCUAGAAUCACGGGUCGGUUACCAUGUUUGAAAUCAACUGUGUUUGAAUCCAACUGCUAGUCACUGGCAUUCAAUUUUAACUUAAUCUCCUUUUAUCAUUCUCAAUUUUUAAGAUCUGUGGUUAGUAAUUUUUUUUCUUUAAUUAAUAAAACAUUUGGAGAUUUUCGAAUGAACAAAUUGUUGCAUGUUUUGAUUAAGUAAUUCUUUGGAUUUUCACUUUACCAAAAUAUAGUUUGGAUAUCUAGAUUCUCCUUUUUUCUUUUCAAAAACGUCUAUUUCAAGUACUAAAUUAACAACAUAGUACUUAGUAAAUGGAUGAUUCUCCUUCGUUUAGUUUAGGAUUAACUCUGUUAGAACAUACUAAACCAACAAAUUCGGUAAUUGAGUUCGUUUCCAGAGUAUUUAAUUACGAGGAAUCUAACUUUGUUGAAAACAGAUCAAAACAUCGCAACGACUCCAUUAAGAUGAAAAAGAUUAACAAAGUUGUUGUUGGAAAGUCGAUAAAACAAAUUGAAGAAUCAUCAAGAAAAAUUAAAAAAGAUGAUACUGCACGGCCACGUUUAUCAAAGAUAUUUCUGAUUUUUCAAUUUUGAUUUUUUAUUUUGGGUUUAUUGUGGUUUUUUAGUAAUUUGAGAUUUUAAAAAUGUUAACUAAUAGGCGGCGGUUGUUAGUUCUUAUGUAGCUUUUGAAUUUUUGCAUAAGUUUGAAGUUAUGCUAGAAGUUGUCUGUGCAAAUACAAAACAACUCUUUGUAUAUAUUCUACAUAUACAUAUUUGAUGAUACGUUUGAUUGAAAUAUAAUGAUAUAUAAUUCAUAUGGUUACGGGUGUAUAUAUUAGUAAGUAUGUAUGUGUUGUCCACAUAUAUUAUUCAUUACAUGUUGUUGAACAUAUACAUAAGUUUUAAAUGAAAUUAUAUUUUGUAAUGUGUGUUUGACGCAACGAACAUUACAUAUGUAUAUAUAAAAUAUAUACAAAAGUAAACAUAUGUUAUUAAACUUAUAAUGAAAUUCCUAGUUCAUAUACAUCAUAUUUUUAUGUAUAUGUUUUUAAUUUUUUUUUUUUUUGUAUUUGAGGCAAUGAACAUCAUCUAUGUAUAUGACUAAUAUAUACAUAAGUUCUGAUAUGUUGUUAGAUGUGUAAUAAAAUGCCUAGUUGAUAUACAUCAUUUUUUUAUGUAUUGAUCAUAUGUGAGCUUAGUUGUUAGAUGUUGUUAGGUGUGUAAUGAAAUGCUAUUUGAUAUGUACUGUAUAUGUUUUGACCAUAUAGCCUCACAUAUAAUGUCUUUUUUAUUUUCAAUAGGGUCUGAAAUAUAGGAUAAAAAAUGUCCCUGCGCAUUCGUUGCAUUUCAAUAGUUAUUGAAAUCGAGAGUUUGGAUCACAUAUAAAUAAUUAUCUUGGUGAAGAAGUUCAAAAUCUUUUUCGUCAAAUAAUUUUUGGUUCCUUUCUAGACAUGCCUCAGUGUAACUUUCAGGGUCACAUUUUCAAAUGCUUACUUAUGCUUGAUGUAGAGCAAGAUAAUCCGGACGAAAUUCACAUUUACCUAAGAAAACUAUUCUCAAAUUUUCUAUUACUGAGUUUGCUAUAAUAUUCAGACUUAAAUGUAAAGGGAACAUCGAGGAUUACCUUUAUACCGAAUCAUCUAAACCCGUAUUAAUAGCGAAGAAUUUUUCAGACACAAAAAAAUCUGUCAAAAAAAUUAUUUUUGUACAGCGAUUCAAGUUGGGAAACUUUGACAACAAUACCGAUGCUUUGAAUAUGUCCAUACUUUACUUUAUUCAUACUUUUGUAUAUUCAAAAAUACGUGGUGUUAGUAUUAGCAGAUCGGAUUAUGUGAUGCUUGAAGAUGGAAGGUAGAAACAAUUUUAAUGGGGGAAGACUUCGUUUCAAAAGCUUAUUGCAAUGCAAAGACGGGAUUUCUUUGUUGAAAAACAGUAAUACUAGAUUGGGGGAAUGCCUCAUGUGCUGAAUGUUUAGAUGUAUGAAUGUUUUUCUGAGGUAGACAACAUGAUAGUUGAGCGUGUAAAAAAUAUAAUUCCAAGAACUUUUAACUGAAAGAUUGUUAGGAUUAAGGUCAAGUACGAGAAGUUCAUGAGUGAUAUGUUCAACAAGGUAAGUGUUUAGUACAUUAUUUCAAGUUAAUGUUCGUAUUUCACUCUGUUGACUUUAAUAGACUCUUAAUGUCAUCAUUUUUAUUGCUUAACAGUUUGUAUACAACAAUUUACAAUCAACUCGUGAAGAAGUGCAAAGACUUGAUUUGCUAAUAAGGGCAUUGAAUUGAAUGAUGUUGAAUCUUCAUUCUCACAUGAUACUUUUUUCGAUCGUAGUGGUAAAAGGCUUGUUGUUGACAUAUAUACACAUUCGAACUCCGACCUACAAGGUUAUGAGGAUUUCAAACAGUCCCACCACAAUUCUUAAAAAGAUAGGUCUGAGAACCAAUGAAUCAGCAUCACAAUCUACGAAGAGGAGGAGGACAGUUCGUUUUGAUGUUAAAACUGUCGAGAUGCAAGAUCGUGAGGAAACGCCAUCGACUGUUUCAAGAAAACAUAUGCCAAAAGAUAAAACACCAACUACUGUUUCAGAACGUGUUGAUGCAACAAAGACAACUCCAUCAUUAUCCAGCAAGUCUGUUCAUCAUGCUACUUCUGAUGAAAAGUGGGACGAGAUAAACUCGUUUUUACAGUCCUGUGUAAAUUUCUCUUAUGAUCAAUAGUAUAAAUUAAAUUAUGAAAACACUGAUGUUUCUUGUCUUUGUAUCUGCAGGUUGACAAAAAAUUCAACGUUCUUCACGAUCUAAUGAUUAAAUAACAUGAAGACUCAAACAACAAAAUGGAUAAACAACAUGUCGAACUCAUGCACAUGUUGAAACACAACAAACACACCGAUGAAAAGGUAAACUAAAUUGAAUUUACGUUAUAUAAUUAACGAAUUUGUUUAUAUUUGUAUUUUUUUCAUUUGUCUGAUUUAUAUUGUAUUUUGAAAAAAUUAUUGUAUAAGGUUCAUACACAUCAUAAAUUGUUAUAUGUAUUUUGAUUAUAAUUUCAUUUACAAUGGCUCACAUAUAUAUACUACUUCAAUAUACAAGCACUGAUUUGUGUAUAAUAGCACAUCAUUUGUAUAUUAUUAAUACAUGUAAACUGUGUUAUGUAUAUUAGAUAAUAUACAUAACUGUGUUAAUAUGCAUAUGAGAUGUCUUAUUUUAUUUUAUGUAUAUUAUAUAGCAUACAUAUGUAACAAAUAUAUAUUAGAUAAUAUAUAUAUUUGUUACAUAUGUAUAUUAGAUAGUAUAUAUAUUUGUUACAUAUGUAUGUUAUAUAAUAUACAUAAAAUAAAAUAAGAUAUUUCAUAUGCAUAUUAUCUAAACUUUUUUAGAUGUAAAGAAUGUUUUUGUUUUUAAAUUAUGAUGGUGAAGAAGCAAAUAUUUGGGCAGAAAAAGAAACAUUCAAUGUAAGUUCACGGUAGAAGCAUUUUAAGGUUAUUUAUGUCUAUUUCUUAGUUUAAAUCAAUAUUUUAAAAUUUAUUCUUACAUAAUUUUAUAACAAAAUCCACAAGAUCAUUAUGUGGAAGGUUCAAGAACGGAAGAUGUACCAUCACAAGAGCAGGUUGAUGAGAUGGAUAUUUUUCAAUAGUGAAAGACAAAAAAAGGGCUACUUUUUUUUAUAAAUAUGCCUUUUUGUUAUCCUACAUUGAUGUUAUGAAAAUUAUUAAUACACAUAUAUAAUACUAAUUUUAUUAGAAUGAUGAAAUGGGAGGUUUUAAAACAGGUGAUGCAUCAUCACAAAACAAUGUCGAAGAGAUAGCUAUUGCCACAAGCUUGAAAGACAAAGGAAAAAAGAUAUUUUUUCUUAAAUAAUUGCUUUACACAAAUUGUUUCAUAUAUGAAUUCAUCUUAACUUUUUUUUUUACUUUUAAAAAUUUAUGAUAUAUUUUUAGCUUAGUUUGUUGUGGAUUUUAACUGAUACCCCUGGUAGUUAUAUCAAUGUAUAUGUGAUAUGUAUAAGAUUAUAAUAUACAUAGUUCAUCAAAACGAGAAACCAUAUAAUACUCAUUUUAAACUUUUAAGUUGUUGGCGAUACUGAUAAAUACUUAGGCAAAGUGUUUGGUGACGAUAUAAUGGAGGAUGAUUUUUUUUUAUGGGAACAACAGUCUUAUACAAAAAUAAUUUGAGGUUAGAUAUCUCAGAUUUUAACUCUUAUAAUUAAAAUAAUAAACUGAUUUAGUUUUGUAUAUGUUAUAUCUACCAGAAUAUUGAAGGUUAUAGUGCGGAUAAUGAAAUUGUCACAUUAGAUGCUCUCAUAAAAGCUAUGGUAAAUCAAAAAUCGAAUUACACCAAAGUUGGAACAUCUGUUACAGUGAAUAUCCAUAAAAAAACAUCCGCUAAAUGUAUAAAGUACAAUAUACAUGUCAAAUAUUUUACACAUCACACUACUUUUACUAACGUGUUUAAACAAAACUAACACAUAAUAUUUACUAUUAGGAUGAUUACUCGAGUACAAUUUUAGAAUUUGCUCAAGACAAGUUAGACGCCAUAAUUGAAGGUCUGGCAGCACCGAUAGAUAAUUUUUCGCUAGAAGUUGUUAAACCGCAUUUCAUAUCUGAUAGUCAGAUUCCUCCAGAUUUUUCUGAUACAUCACAUCAAGCUGCAAAAACCCCUGCCAAGAGAACCAGGGCUAAAUCUAAAGUUUUCAAGUCACCAUAUCUGACAGAGUAUACUUUUGGUUCAAAUGCCAUUGAGAACGAAAUCAUAGAAUUGAUGCAGAAAUUCGCGUUUGAUUAUUUCAUAAUAUCUGACGACAUGUCGUGGCGUGUCAUUACAGAGUACAAGAAGUGGGUUGAAGAAGGUCUAUUGAAGUUUCAUGUAAAAAAGUAAGUUUUAUCAUUAUUAAAUUGAACAUUUUUUGUCAAUAUGUGUUUACAAUUUAUAUUUUUUUCUUACUAACAAAAUUUAACAUUUUAUAGAAAAAUGAAUGAUGACCACUACAGAAUAAAAGCAUCUGCUCUUGGAGUUCAAGAAUUUGAUUUUGUUGUUGCACAUGCAUGGUCAAAAAAUUGAUGUCUCAAACAAAUGCAUGCUAAAACGAUGAAAUAUUUUUAAUUUUAAAAAACUUUCAUAUUUACAUACAUAUACCUAAGUUCAUUCGACUUGCAUAUAGAAAAAUUUGUUAUGUUCUUUGUCACAGCACUGUUGAUUUAUGUAUGUGCAUCAAAUUUAUAUAUAUAUGUAUGACUGUUAUGUAUUCCUUACCAUUAUGUAUAUAAAUAUCUGAUUGAAAAAUUUAAGUAUGACCGGUUAUUGGCAGUUACUUAUGCAUACGCCCAAGUGCAAAGUACAAUAUUUCUAUCUAUUUGUUAUAUGUCCGUCUUAUUCUAUGUAUAUGCAUGCUUGUUGAUAUGUAUGUGCAAAUGCUAAAGAAUACCUACUUAUGUAUAUAACAGUUUGUUAUGUAUAUGCACUAUUAGUUUAUAAAUACUUCUGCCUGCAUGUUAUGUAUACUAACUACACAAUUACGUAGACUCUUUUUAACUCAUAUUACUUAGGGUAAACAUAUAAAUAUGUUCACAGUAUAAAUCGAUAUAAUGCCUCUUUUUUGUAGCACAUUGAUGUGAUAUUCUAUCACCUGCGCAAGAAAUUAAAGAUUGAUCAAGAAUAUAAAUGCACAACAAUUGUUUUUUCAAGAGCUAUAUUGAGAAGACGUACUGUAGAUAUUAUCCCGAUAUGGUACUUUCUACACAACAGGAUUAUGCUCAAUCUAUUUUUGUGGCCCAGAAUAAAGAGGCAAUAACAAACAUAAUCAAGGAAUUUUGCAUUCUAGCUGGGUUACCAUGGCACCUAGUUGAUGAGGUGUAUUUUCCUGUCAACUGCAAUGAAAAGUUUCACUGGAUAUUAGUUGUUAUUGCUCUAAAGGAUAGCCGCAUACGCGUCUAUGAUUUACUGUCCAAUCUAAGAAAUAUGGACUCAUCGUCCGAGAUUCACAAGUUGGCAGUGAUGCUGCCAACUUACUUGUCUGACGACGAAUUUUUUUGAAGAAAAGACACGUACAGAAUGUGCAAAUCUUGAUGCAUAUAGGGAUAAGAUGAGUUAAAGGACAUAGUUAGUGAAUCAACACCCAUUCAAGGUUGAGUAUAUGCAAAACAGUACUCAACAAGAAUGUGACAGCUUGUAAGUAAUCUAACUGUUAUUUAUGAUGUGUUGGACAAAAUAACGUGUUUAUUUUUUUGCAUGUCAGCUUGGAAGAAACAAACACGGUAUUUCUUCUAACACAGCAUAAAUAGUAGUUCAUAAAAAAAUAUAGAAGAUUACUUACAAAUUGUCACAUUCUUGUUGAGUAAUGUUUUGCACAUACUCAAUCUCAAAUGAGUGUUGAUUCAUUAACUGUGUCCUUUGACCCAUCUUAUUCCUAUAUGCAUCAAGAUUUGCCCAAUCUGCACGUGUUGUUUCUUUAAAAAAUCCACUGUCAGACAAGUAAGUUGACAGCAUCACUGCCAACUUGUGAAUCUCAGGCGAUGAGUCUAUAUUUCUUAGAUUAGACAGUGAGUCAUAGACGCGUAUGCGUCUAUCCUUUAGAGCAGUAACAACUAAUACCUAGUAAAACUUUUCAUUGCAGUUGACAAGAACAUACACCUCAGCAACUAGGUGCCAUGGUAACCUAGCUGGAAUGCAAAAUUCCUUGAUUAUGUUUGUUAGUGCCUCUUCAUUCUGGACCACAAUAACAGACUGAACAUAAUCCUGCUGUGUAGAAAGUACUGUAUCUGAAUCAUCAGGAUCAUAUCUUCGGUACGUCUUCUCAAUAUAGCUCUUGAAAAAGCAGUUUGUUGUUGUGAAUCUGUAUUCUUGGUCAAUCCUUAAUUUUAAUUUUGCACAGAUGAUAGAAUAUCACAUCAAUAUGCUACAAAGUUGAAAUACAAAGAAGAAGCAUUAUGUCGAUUUAUACUGUGAACAUAUUUAUAUGUUUACUCUAAGUAAUAUGAGUUAAAAAGAGUAUAUAUAAUUGUGGAGUUAGUAUACAUAACAUGCAGGCAGACGUAUUUAUAAACUGAUAGUGCAUAUACAUAACAGACUAUUAUAUACAUAAGUAGAUAUUCUUUAGCAUUUGCACAUACAUAUCAACAAGCAUGCAUAUACAUAGAAUAAGGCAGACAUAUUGCAAAUAGAUAGAAAUAUUUUACUUUGCACUCAGGCAUAUACAUAAGUAACUGCCAACAAUCGGCCACACAUUAACUUUUCAUCAGAUAUUUAUAUACAUAAUGAUAAGGAAAAUACAUAACAGGCAUACAUAUAUAUAAAUUUGAUGCGCAUACAUAAAUCAGCAGUGUACAACUGACUAUGGCAAAAAACAUAAUAAAUUUUUAUAUAUGUAAGUCGAAUGAACUUAGGUAUAUGUAUGUAAAUAUGAAAGUUCCAGCAUGCAUUUGUUUGAGACAUCAAGUAAAAUAAAUUUUUGACCGUGCAUGUGCAACAACAAAAUUGAAUUCUUGAACUCCAAGAGCAGAUGUUUUUGCUCUGUAGUAGUUAUCAUUUAUUUUUCUAUAAAAUAUUAAAUUUUGUUAGUAAGAAAAAAAUAUAAAUUGUAUACGCAUAUUAACAAAAAAUGUUAAAGUUUAAUAAUGAGCAAACUUACUUUUUUGCAUGAAACUUCAAUAGACCUUCCUCAACCCACUUCUUGUACUCUUCAAUGACAUGCCUUGACAUAUCAUCAGAUAUUAUGAAAUCAUCAAAUGCGAAUUUUUGUUUCAAUUUAGUGAUUUCGUCCUCAAUGACCUUUGAACCAGAAGCAUACUCUGUCAAGUAUGGUGACUUAAAAACUUUAGAUUUAAUCCUGGUCCUCCUGACAGGAAUUUUUGCAGCUUAAUGUGUCGCAACAACUGCAUCAGGAAAAUCUAGAGGAAUCUGACUAACAGAUAUGGAAUGCGGGCUAACUAUUCUUCUGACGGUUUAACAACUUCUAGAGGAAGAUCAUCCACCAGUGCUGCCAGACCUUCCAUUAUGGCGUCUAAGUCAGCUUGAGCAGAUUUUAAAAUUGUACUCAAGUAAUCAUCCUACUAGUAAAUAUUAUAUGUAUAGUGCUAGUUUUUUUUAAAUGCGUUAGUAAAAGUAGUGUGAUGUGUAAAAUAUUUGAAAUGUAUACUGAAAAAAUGCACUUUAUGUAUUUACUGGAUGCUCUUUAUGGAUAUUCACUGUAAUAGAUGUUUCAACCUUGGCGUAAUUCGAUUUCUGAUUUACCACAGCUUCGACAAGAGCAUCUAAUGUGGCAGUUUUAAUAUCCGCACUGCAACCUUCAAUAUCCUGGUAGAUAUGACAUAAAACAUAUACAAAACUAAAUCAGUUUAUUGUUUUAAUUAUAAGAGUUAGAAUCUGAGAUAUCCAACCUUAGAUUGAUUUUGUAUAGAGGAAUGUGGUUCCCAUAAAAAAAAAAACAUCCUCCAUUAUAUCAUCACCAAACACUUUGCCUAGUGUCACCGACAACCUAAAAAUUUAAAAUGAGCAUUGGAUGAUUUAUGAUAACGUUCUCAUUUUGAUGUACUAUAUAUGCAUAUUAUAAUCAUAUACAUAAGUCAUAUCACAUAUACAUUAUAAUAACAAUAUAACUACUAGGCACAUCAGUCAAAAUUCCCAACAAACUAAACUAAAAAUAUAUCAUAAAUUUUUAUUUUUUUUAAAGAUUAAGAUAAAUUCAUAUAUGAAACAACGUGUAAAACAAUUAUUUAGGAAAAAAUAUCUUUUUCCCUUUGUCUUUCAAGCUUGUGGCCAUAGCCAUCUCUUCGACAUUGUCACAUGAUGGUGCAUCCUCCAUUAUAUCAUCUCCCAUUUUAUAUUGAUUGUGUCUCAACAACAGAGAGAGCCACAACAUCGAAUUCAACACCCUCCAAGCAAAGAACAACUCCUAUUUCUCCAUUGAACUCUCUGUCCUCUGCACAUUUAUCAAUCGUUGAUAUGCACAACGGAUACAUCACGAACACUGGUUGAGAUUCUUAACCUCCACAUACAACCGAACACUAUUAUCAUUACAGAUAUGAAAAGGUGAUUCAUUGCCGUCAACAACAUAACGUACAUCAAUAUUUUUUCAAGAUUUGUCAAUGUUUAAUUCGACAAUAAUUGACGACAUCAACCUCAAAUAAUUAAUUAAUUCAGCGACAACGAUCCCUUCACUUUUGUAAUUAACAUAUUUUGUUUCGAUUCCCCAUUGACCAAAAUACCUCAAAAAAAAUUAGCAAUAUUCAUCUUCUUGAAUUUCAAUAAAUUAGCAAUAUUCAUCUUCUUGAAUUUCAAUUAAUUUUUUUUCUUCAAAAAGAUCAAAAAACAGUGCUCAAAUUGAUUUUGAUUUAUAUUUUUCGUCUUAUUUGAUUUUUAUGUAUUUGUUGUUUUCAAAAUUAGAAUUUCAGUAGUUGUUACAUAAUUUAAGGGAUGCAAUAAUCCACUUAUUAAAUUAGUUACGUUAAUUACGUCCUUAAUGGCAGGGGAAUCCGCUAUUUUCAUUUUAACAAUGGUAACAAAUUCGCAUAUACAAAGGUUUCUAUGUAUAUGUCGGCAGUCUUAUGUAUAUGAAUUGGGAGAGAGUAAAAUAAUUAAAGAAGUGGGAGAAUGUAAAUAAUAGUAAAAGGAUUGGUAUUUAUGUUAUUUACUAGUUUAGGUGUACGCGCCUUGCGCGUGUACCUUACUUUAUUGAGUUUAAACGUUACACUAAAUAAGAUAUUUGUUUAAAUAAUAAAGAUGAAUAUAAUAAUUAAAUUCAACAUCUUUUAAAGAAUUUAUUUAAUUAAACCUAACCUUACCAAAAAAAUUUCUCAAAGCCGAUCGACAUUCAUCUACCACCUGUAAACUGCAACAAAACAAUAAAACAAUAUGAUGAUAAAGACAUCAAAACAAUAUAAUUAAAUUUAAACUUUACACAAAAAUUUCCUCAAAGUCUUCCGACACUCAUCUACCACCUGUAAACUAUAACAAAAUAAUACGAUAAUAGAGAUAUCAAAAUAAUACAACUAAACUUUACCUUUAACACAAAAAAAAUCUCAAAACAGAGAUAUAAAAAUAAUACAAUUAAACCUAAUUCUUACCUAAAAAAAUUCCUCAAAGCCGACCGACAUUUAUCUACCACCUGUAAAUUCAUCUAAGACCUGUAAACUACAACAAAAUAAUACUAUAGUGAUAAAAAGGCUUCAGUUUUGAUGAAACUAAUUUUUGUUUGGGCGAAAAAACUACAACAAAAUAAUACAAUAAUAAUCACAAAGCUUCAGUUUUGAUGAAAAUAAUUCUUGUCUGAGCAAAAAUUGACACUAAAAAAAUGACUUAAAUAAAAACAAAGAAGACAUAUACACACACAUGAAUGAAGUUGAAGGCUAGAAAAUUAAGCAUCCAUCAAUCUAGAUAUGCAACCGAAUCAAGUUAGAUGAGUAUCAGUCAUAUUUUCACAAUAAGUAAACCAGUUUCUUCUCUAAUUUAAUGUGCAUCUCAAUAUUUAUAGAAGUAUUUUCUUAAUAGAGUCCUAUUUUAGAAGUAUUUUUUUAUCCUAGUUUAGGAGUAUUUUUCAUCUAAAAUUUUAGUAACUUAUGUUAAGAGAGAGAAAGUAAUCUUUUAUUUUAUUUUAACGUCUUUAUAUUGACAUAAUUAGUUAGAAUGAUAUUUAUUUCACUUCUUAUACAAUUACAAAUUCAAAUUUUUCUUUGUAGUCUCAACUUUUUUUUGCUCCGUUUUCGUCAAGUUGAAUUUUCCUAAAUUCAAAUGUUUUUCCAGUACGUUUUUCUUAUGGUAAAGCCCCUCCCCCCUUCAAAAUAUGGUAAUUCUUAUUAAAAUAUUAAUUGAUUCUCUUUUUAUAUAUUUUAAGAGUCUCAUAUAUUUUAGGAGUCUAGUUAAUAUACUAAAAAUAAUUAAAUAAUAAAUUAAAGAAAAUAGCGAAAAGAUAGUUUUGUCUGAAGGAGAGUCUUUUAAUGAAGGGCAAAAAAUUCAAAUCACUUUUAUAAGGGUCUUUACACUUUUAAUAUAUUAUAGAUAUAGAUAUUGAAAUUAGACCAUAUCAUACAUUUUAAGAAACAAUCAAAACAAAUAUGAUUCUCCUAGUAACCAUACCAUACCAUGAAAAACUACCAUCCAAAUAGUGUGUAAAAUUUCCAAAUGUGAUUUUUAUUAUACUUAUCUUCAUCUCUCUUCAAUAUAUUUUAUUCAUACAAGUUCAAUAUCGACCAAAGAACGUCACUACCAGCAACAGAGGCGGAUCAUGUUGGGUGUCACGUUCAUUUGGAUUUAAUAUUUUCGAUAUGAAAGAUACAUGUAUAUGUAAUUAUUUAUUAAAAUUACAAUAAGUAAAACUUGAAUCGAUCUAAAAAUCAUAAGGGUUGAGCUCACAAAAUUUAAAUCUUAGACUCGUUUCAAUCGAAGAUACUUCGGAAAUAACUUCUAUAUCUCCACAAGUUAACAGUAAAGUCAACAUACAAUCUAUUACUUGUAAAAUUUCACAGACUAUGUUAUUGUUGUUCCAUCAACAAAUACUCUAAAUUGCACAUCAAAGAUAGUUUGAUGAUACACGUAUCCCUAAGUUUGUCAUACUUAUUACUAGAAAAAAAAAUUGUAGUGGGACACUCGUAUCUUUUUUGGAUUUUGGUCAUUUCAUAAUAGACUUGCAAUCUUUUAUAUAGGAGGUGGCCACUGGCCAUUAGGGGGCUACAAAAGACAGGUAUACAGAAAUAACCCUUUGGUUACACAAAACAUGCAUUCAGUAAUUCUUAUUUGAGCAUUAGAACAUUUCGUUGUACUAAAUAUAAGUUGUUUAUUGGUUAGAAAAAAAGAGUAACAAUAUGCUCCUUAUUUUAGUUAUUUUAUUUAUCUAAUCAUUUAGGUAACUCAAGUAUGUAUUUUUUUUUUUACAUUGUACUGUAAAGAAGAAAAGGGCACAAGUGAGAUGACUUAGUUGAUGCAAGAGGUGGUAUUCUAUAAGGAAGGUCCGAGAUUAAUUUUCUCCAUCUGACUUCUUCUUAGUCUAGCUCACCACACUAGAAAACACUUCUUUAAAAAUAGUGUAUAAAUUUAAAUUAAUCAAACUAGUGAAUUAAAUAUCAAAUGGUUAUACUAAAUUCUUAUAAAUGCAGAGAAAGGAAAUUUCCCUUUGGGCUCCACUUCUCUAAAUGGGAACAAGGAUAUUAUUUCUUUCUUUCACUUUUCCAUAAAACCAAACAAAGAAACUGUAAUAUCUUUCUGCCUUUACACUUUCUUGAUUUUGACUUCCCUUUCCUUUUCAUUCCUUUUCUGUUCUUCAUUUCACUGCUUUCUGAAGAAAUCCAAACAAACUAAGGUUGAUCUUUAAUUUUUAUCCUUCAAAAUCAAGCUUAUAUUAUGGUGCUCUGGAGGAAGGUAGUAGGUACUAAGGUACCCUGCGGAGUUGAUGCACACAAACUGGCCCGACCAGUAUGAUAAUUGAAAAAGGUAGUUGUUCUUGUUAAUUUUAUCUGCACUUUGUAUCAGGGGCGGAUUCAGGGUGCUGGGUGGGGGAUCCCGGAAACCCAGUAACUUUCGUACGGAACUAUUAUUUAUAUAGCGAAAUCAAGUAAAUAUAUAAGAAUUAUAAGUUAGAAACCCAUAAAUAAAGUGUAUUGUUGGUCUAGUGGAGUAGAUGGAUUUGUAAAAGAUUUAUUGUCCUCUUAGUUGUAGGUUCAAAUCCCCGUAGCCACUAUUUGUUUUUAUUUUUGUUAAUGCAAAAAAUCCACAAACUUUAAAUACUGCCUGUGCUUUAUAUAUUGAACUAGUCUAAUAUUUGAUAUACACUAUGUAUAUAGUUGGAGAUUCCCAUCAAAUGUAGUAAAAAAAAAAAAAACAAUGGUACUGCCAGGACCAUACAUCUGGUCGACCAUACGUGGUAAUGAAAAUACAAAGUAUACUCUAUUUCUCAGCAUUAACAAAUUUAUGGACGUCAUGUCUACCAGGUCGUCUCUAUCGUGAAGAUUAUGACUGCAUUUACCAGUUACCAUAACCACCUUUACCAUUCCAGGCAGUGAUUCCCAGAACAGAGUUCUGAUGGAAGCUGUGUGGAUGAAUCCUCAUAGAAGCUGAAACAAUUUUCGGUCAGAAACGCGGCACCAACGUGCUUGGUGCAGCUAAUGAGCAAACCAUAGGAAGUAGAGGUGAGUAGAUAAUUUCAAUCAGCAAAGUAGCCGAUGGAAGAGAUUUCUAAGUAGGGUAGUACCAUGAAAUUCUCGUCCAAUCCACAGAAGCGCAAACACACUCCAUUCAGAUUAUGUUCUUCAUUUUUCUGCUGUUCCUCUUGCAUGCCUUAACGGUUAGGAUUGAACAUCACCCUCUAGCCAAUCAAACAUCAUUGUCAUUGGACUGAAUCAAUGAUAUUGAGGAAGUCGGUCAGAUCCUUCUUCUCAACUAAAUUAUUGACAUUUACUAGUGAUAAUAUAAUAUGUGGGGGAAGGGCCGCACCCCAAGGGUGUGAUGUAGACAACAUAUCCUAAUACAAAACAUUAGUGGUUGCUUCCACGGCUCGAACGCGUGACCUAUAGGUCAAACAGAAACAACUUUACCGCUGCUCCAAAGAUCCCCUCAAGUGAUAAUAUAAUAUACAACAACAUACCCAGAUCCCAGUGUAAUCCCAUAAAGUGGGGGAGUACUGAUAAUAUAAUACAGUAAACAUAAUUAGAAAAUACUGAUGAUUCCUAAACAAGAAAUACUUCAUUUUUUGGUAAAAUCAUUGCGUCGCUUGUCAGAUAUUAGUUUGGUUUGGAAACCAAACCAAAUUGUUCUCUUUUAUAACGCAGUGUCACAAUCAACUCGUGCCCUUUCAUGAAGUAUUUGUUGCCUUCUAUCAAAAGGUAAUGAGUUCAAGAUUUGUGUAUUGUUGGUGUACAAAAUAUUUAAUAUUAUCAAGUAAAUUUGAUCUGCCAUUGCAGAUUAUUGAGUUUUUUACAUAAAAAUUGAAAAAGAAAAAAUUAGUUAAUCAUAUAAAAUUUAUCUGAUAGUAUAGAGUAGUUUAUACAGAGAUAAAGCACAAAACUUAAAUUUAAAGAUAAUUCUGUGCCCCUUGAACAUUUGCAUAAGUACAAUGUUUUAGUGCAAAUUUGCCUUGCCAUAAAGCCUAACGUACUCGCAGAGAUUUGGGCAAAUUCUAGCAAUGAAAAAUCUUUAUCAUGUCAUAAACUUGACGAAUCCUCACAAUUUAAUCACAAAAUUGAUUUAUUAUAUUUUUUAAUAUUUUUUUUUUUGCUUUAAAAGUGUCAUGAAUGAAUUUCAAAUGACUUCAAAUUUGCUAAAGAAAAUUCUAAUAGUAACCUCAAUAAUUCAUGUUUGCUGAGGAUUUUAGGGAAAUAAUCUCUCAAUCUUUUCGAGGCAGUGAUAAAAUAUAUGUAUAUUUUAUCCUUCUAGACCUCACUUAUAGAAUUUCACUUAGUAUAUUAUUGUUGUAGUAGCCUCGAUAAAAGUUAAAUUUUUGACUCCUUUCAAUCGAGGGUCCUUCGAAAAUAAUUUCUCUAUCUUUACAAGUUAAGACUAAAUUUUAAUUGUAAAAUUUCAUUGACUAUGUUAUUGUUGUUCCAUAAUAGACUUGCAAUCUUUUAUAUAGGAGGUGGCCACUGGCCAUUAGGGGGCUACAAAAGACAGGUAUACAGAAAUAACCCUUUGGUUACACAAAACAUGCAUUCAGUAAUUCUUAUUUGAGCAUUAGAACAUUUCGUUGUACUAAAUAUAAGUUGUUUAUUGGUUAGAAAAAAAGAGUAACAAUAUGCUCCUUAUUUUAGUUAUUUCAUUUAUCUAAUCAUUUAGGUAAUUCAAGUAUGUAUUUUUGAUGGUAUUCUAUAAGGGAGGUCCGGGAUUAAUUUUCUCCAUCUGACUUCUUCUCAGUCUAACUCACCGCACUAGACAACACUUCUUUAAAAAUAGUGUAUAAAUUUGAAUUAAUCAAACUAGUAAAUUAAAUAUCAAAUGGUUAUACUAAAUUCUAAUAAAUGAAGAGAAAGGAAAUUUCCCUUUGGGCUCCACUUCUCUAAAUGGGAACUAGGAUAUUAUUUCUUUCUUUCACUUUUCCAUAAAACCAAACAAAGAAACUGUAAUAUCUUUCUGCCUUUACACUUUCUUGAUUUUGACCUCCCUGUCCUUUUCGUUCCUUUUCUGUUCUUCAUUUCACUGCUUUCUGAAGAAAUCCAAACAAACUAAGGUUGGUCUUUAAUUUUUGUCCUUCAAAAUCAAGCUUAUAUCUAGCAGGAUAUAACUUGUGAAAUAUUAUGGUUCUCUGGAGGAAGGUAGUAGGUACUAAGGUACCCUGCGGAGUUGAUCUCCAUGCACACAAACUGGCCCGAUCAGUACGAUAAUUGAAAAAGGCAGUUGUUCUAGUUAAUUUUAUCUGCGCUUUGUAUGUUGAACUAGUCUAAUAUUUGAAGUAGUAGAAAAAACCAAUGACUGCCAGGACCAUACAUCUGGUUGACCAUACGUGAUAUUGAAAAUACAAAGUAUAUUUCUCAGCAUUAGUCAAUGUAGUCAGCCAUAUAUAGUGCUUGCCAGAACUGUAAGAAAUUGUAAACAAAUUUAUGGACGUCAUGUCUACCAGGUCGUCUCUAUCGUGAAGAUUAUGACUGCAUUUACCAGUUACCAUAACCACCUUUACCAUUCCAGGCAGUGAUUCCCAGAACAGAGUUCUGAUGGAAGCUGUGUGGAUGAAUCCUCAUAGAAGCUGAAACAAUUUUAGGGCAGAAACGUGAAAGCUGCACCCGGCAGAACGUGCUUGGUGCAGCUAAUGAGCAAACCAUAGGAAGUAGAGGUGUAACACCCCGUAGUAUUCUCGACUUGAUACCACACUUAGUAGCAUGCUUAAAGAGCUAACAACCUGAAACUUUUCCAAGUGUUUAAAAGGACUUAGUCAUAUUUUAAGUUCCUGAAUUUCAAUGAUCCUUAAAUCGAUCUUUCCGACCUCGAGACGUAGAUUUUAAAGUUAAUUCAUGUUCAAGGAUGUAAGGGGCAUGUCUUGGGGAAGUUUCAGAAUUUUCGAACGAGUGUAAGGGCAUGUUUGGAUCACCAAAACAGUAGCACGCCGCAAUAUGCCUGCGUCACCUGCUCCAUUUCGGUGCUACGGAACACACGUCGCGCGCUCCAUUCCGGCGCUCCGUAGCCCGCUGAAUAGCGUGCUCUCAUAUUUUUCAGUUCCUGUUUCCGCGUAUUUGAGGGCAAUCAGGUCAUUUACCUUACCCAAAACUGUCCAAAACACAAGAUUGAAGCCCCCAAAGAGCAUUUGUUACAUCAUCAUUCACUUUUCCUCUCCAAGAAAACCCUAAACCCCCCAAAGAUCAAGAAUCAAGCUCUUACGUCAAGAUUUCCAACAAACAAAUCAAGAUUCGGGUUCUAUCCUUCGAACUAAGUAAUCUAAGAUACGUGGGGCCAUCCUAAACUCCUUGGGCAUAAGUUUUAUGAUUUUUAUUAAGUUCAAAGAUAUAUAAUCAUGUUUACAAAGAGGGUUUUGACAUGGUUUUGAAUAGCAUAUAUUAUGAACUUGUUUUGAUGAAAGUAAACGUUUGUCUUGAACCCCUUUUAUAGAAUUGAAUUAUAACCACGUAUACAUACGCGUUUUCAGUUUUGCAAAGUUCAAUUGAGAGCAUAAAUGACGCAACCCCUCUCUUGUUUCGAUACCUCUUGAUUUCACAUGUUGUUGGUUGUUCAAUUGUAUAUUUUGAACAACAACAAACCCAGUGUAUUCCCACAUAGUGAGGUCUGGGGAGGGUAAGAUGUACGCAGUCCAUACCUCUACCUCUAAAGAAGUAGAAAGGUUGUUUCCGAUAGACCCCCGGCUCGAGGCACGGAAUACUAAACAAAUUCAUAGUAAACCAUAACAUAAAUACGACACCCACAAGUAAUAGUAAACAGAGAAAAGUAAACAGAUUCGUAAUAAAGCAUGAAACAAGGUAUCAUAACAAGAAUAAUACCCGCACCAAGUAAUUCCCUACCCUACACCCAAACUGACCUUAGCCUUCUGUCCUAAUUCGCGUCCUCCAGAUCUUCCUAUCUAGGGUCAUGUCCUCAAUGAGUUGUAACUGCUCCAUGUCCCGCCUAAUCACCUCUCCCCAGUACUUCUUCGGCCUACCCCUACCCGCCUAAAACCAUCCAAAGCUAGCCUCUCACACCUACGAACCAGGGCAUCCAUGCCCCUCCUCAUAACGUGUCUGAACCAUCUCAAUCGGACUUCCCGCAUCUUAAUCUAACUCUAUCCCCCCUAGUCAGCUCACACAUCCAACGCAACAUCCGCAUUUCCGCCACCUUCAUUUUUUGAAUGUGAGAGUUCUUAACUGGCCAACACUCCGCUCCAUACAACAUGGCCGGACGGAUUGCCACCCUGUAAAAUUUGCCUUUAAGCUUGGGCGGCACCUUCUUAUCACACUAUACCCCCGAAGCGAGCUUCCACUUCAUCUAUCCCACCCCAAUACGGUGCGAGACAUCCUCUUCAAUAUCACCGUUACCCUGAAUCACGGACCCGAGAUACUUGAAACUAUCCCUCUUACAUACCACCUGUGAUUCCAACUUCACUACCACCUCAUUCUCCAGCCUCACGUCAUUAAACUUGCAUUCCAAAUACUCUGUCUUACUCCUACUCAACCUGAACCCUUUAGACUCAAGAGUUUGUCUCCACACCUCUAAUUUCCGCGUCUCAUCAAUCAAAACUACAUCAUCUGCAAAAAGCAUACANNNNNNNNNNNNNNNNNNNNNNNNNNNNNNNNNNNNNNNNNNNNNNNNNNNNNNNNNNNNNNNNNNNNNNNNNNNNNNNNNNNNNNNNNNNNNNNNNNNNNNNNNNNNNNNNNNNNNNNNNNNNNNNNNNNNNNNNNNNNNNNNNNNNNNNNNNNNNNNNNNNNNNNNNNNNNNNNNNNNNNNNNNNNNNNNNNNNNNNNNNNNNNNNNNNNNNNNNNNNNNNNNNNNNNNNNNNNNNNNNNNNNNNNNNNNNNNNNNNNNNNNNNNNNNNNNNNNNNNNNNNNNNNNNNNNNNNNNNNNNNNNNNNNNNNNNNNNNNNNNNNNNNNNNNNNNNNNNNNNNNNNNNNNNNNNNNNNNNNNNNNNNNNNNNNNNNNNNNNNNNNNNNNNNNNNNNNNNNNNNNNNNNNNNNNNNNNNNCCAGGCAUAAAUCCAAACUGGUUCUCCGAAAUAGACACUAUCCGUCUCAGCCUCACCUCGACUACUCUCUCCCAAAUCAUCAUAGAGUGACUCACUCAAUAACUACCCCUAUAGUUAUUGCAACUCUGAAUGUCACCCUUGUUCUUAUAAAGAGAGAUCAUAGUACUCCACCUCCAAGCCUCGGGCAUUUUCGCCGUCUUGAAAAUUCCAUUAAACAAUCCAGUCAACCACAUUAAACCAGCCUCGCCAGAAAACUUCCAAAAAUCCACAGGUAGGUAUCUCAUCAGGCCCCGUCGCCCUACCCCUUCGCAUCCUGCGAACAACCUCUCUAACCUCCUCUACCUUAAAACGUCUACAAUAACUAAAAUCCCGACACUCCUCUGAGUGCUCCAACUCCCCUAACACAAUAGCUCUAUCCCUUCGUCAUUCAAGACCUAUGAAAAUACGACUACCAUCUAUUCUUAAUGUGGCCAUCCUCCACCAACACUGUACCGUCCUCCCCCUUAAUGCACUUCACCUGAUCGAGGUCACGACCCUUCCUCUCCCUAGCCUUAGCGAGUCUAAACAACUUUUUUUCUCCUCCUUUCUCCUAUAACCCCGCAUACAAGCUCUCAAAUGCUGCCGUCUUAGCCGUAGUAACUGCUAACUUAGCCUCCUUCAUAGCUAACUUGUACUCUUUCCUAUUUACCUGCUUCUCUUCUUCGUCCUUACUCUCAACCAACUUAGCAUACGCCCCUUUCUUGGUCUCCACUUUCUUCUUAACCUCUUCAUN
RNAcentral lists this long non-coding RNA (44883 nucleotides) under Capsicum annuum. RNAcentral describes it as "long non-coding RNA (CANN_LNC016442)". The record is from RNAcentral. Lineage: Eukaryota; Viridiplantae; Streptophyta; Magnoliopsida; Solanales; Solanaceae.